This 49167-nucleotide long non-coding RNA is filed under the name Cucumis sativus (cucumber). RNAcentral's name for it is "long non-coding RNA (CSAT_LNC002760)". The record is from RNAcentral. Lineage: Eukaryota; Viridiplantae; Streptophyta; Magnoliopsida; Cucurbitales; Cucurbitaceae.
UUCCAAUAAAGUUUAUUUUUAUUUCUUCUCAAAUACUCUAUUCGGUAAUGAUCUAUUUGGAGUGUUCAUCACACGCUUCCAACAACACCAAGUCAAAUCUCCAAGAAAAUAUGAAAAAAAAAAAUCUCAAGUUGCAAAAUUGAUGCCAAUGCUGAAGUGUUAGGUCAAUUCUGGCCCAAUGCACAAACUCAAAAAGACAAAAAAUUGCAUAGUGUAGCCCAGCACACAACAUCACAAAGUUGGGUUUGGUGCAACGACGCCUUGCGUUGUAACAAAGUGCGGCAUGAACAUUUAUAUAUAUAUGAAUAUUUCAUGAACAUAUUUUCCAAAAAGCUGGUUUUUCUUACCGCAUUUGAUUGCAUAUUGUUCAAGAAGAAUAGAUACAUUUUCCAUAACAAAUAAAUUCCCAAUACGGUUCAAAAAACAUUAAAUAUAAAAGGAAAAAGAAAAGCAAUUAACUAAAGAAACAUUAAAUUAUUACCAGAAUUCUAUCACGAUAUUUCUCCCUAAUCCUUGUAGCCUCUACAAACAUGGAAAACUCCUCAGUUCUAAACUUACAAAAAUAUGAACAUAUGAACAUUGCAAUCAAAACCCAAGUAAUAAGGAUUGUGGAGAGGAAAUUAAAAAAUAUAAUAAGGAUUGUGGAUAGGGAAAAAACAAACCUAGGAGAGAGUUAAGAUAAAUUAAUCGUGGCUGGUGGAGGGAGAGGCGCACGGCGGUGUUGGGGCACAUGAUGACGAGAGAGAGAAAGACGGAUGGCAGGCAGAGAUGGAGAGGGAGCCUUAGAAGUUCGAAGAUGUGGGAGAUGAAGUUUCAGAUAUGUGUUGUGGGUUUUUUAAAAGGCUAUCUCCCGACAUCGUAUGAAAAACAUCAUGAGUUAAUAGAGAUCUCCGGAUGCGCUAUUUAAAUUGCCUGCAAGUUUGGAGAGAACUCUCGACACAUUAUUUAAUGCUUAGAGAGUUGGUAGGAAACUCCAAACCCAAUAAAAACGGUCUCAGGAGAUAUCAAAAUUUACCGUUUUCUGUAACUAACGUCCAAUGCCAAUUUAUGACAUCGGGAGCUAACCAUGAAUUUUGACGUUCUUUACAGCCCAUGGGAUAUAUCCUUUCGUACGCCCAACGAUGGUUUUGUGUGUCGAGAAUACAUUUUUUUUUUUAUAUGGCCAUCUUGAUGUUUAGAAUUUGAUUGGGAGUUUUUGGAGGAGAUUGAGAAUCUGUCCAGCAAGAUCAGGUUUGUUUAUGACAAGAUUUUGGUAAGUUCUUGGUGAGUUCCUUUGUGAAACCUUGGUUACCCAUUGUGCGUAUAUGGGUCUAACCUUUUAGUUUUUUGUUAGUUCUUUAAGGUUGAAAUUUAAAGUUGUUCUUAAUUCCUGUAAUCUGGUUGAGAGCUUGGAGCCAAAGCUUGGAAGCUUCUGUUUGCCUUGGAUAAAUUAUUUGAAGAUUAAGUAAUUGCAUAAAUUAGUGGAUGAGCUUGGAGCCAAAGGUCGUUGUUUCCGCUCUUCUUUACUUUUCCAUGAUUUUAGAUUUGUUUUGAACUCUUUGUUGAAUAGAAAAUUUCAUGAUUUAUAUAUACACAUUUAUUUGCUUUUAUGAUUUUAAAUAGGGAACUCUAAGUUAGAAGUAUCUGUUUAUUCACUAAUUAUAUUCAUUUAUGUUAUUUUAAACAUUAUUCACCUCAGGUUUUAUUUCCUAUUUUCUCUAAAUAAAAUGUUAGUGUUUUGGUUUUAAUUUGGUUGUUUAUGAAGUAAUGAUUUUAGCUUAAGUUUGAAAAGUCGGAUCUUACUAGAACCAUCAGAGUUUGGUUUCACUACCUUUAUUUAAUAUGUUUAUUAUGACAUUUAUUCCGUGGGAAGUUAUUAUGAUUUCUCUUCUUUAUAGGGUUAGAUGGAAUCUUGGAAGAAGAUUAUUAUAUUGUAUUAAGUUGGAUGAUUGAUUGACCAUUUGUAGAGAAGAUUGAUGAAUGUUGGUGAAUAAAGUACUGUAUCAAUAUACAUUUUGACGAAGUCGAUACAAUAUAUGAAUCAUAAGAGAAAAUCAGCUAUCAAGUUGCUUGAAGUUAUGAUUUCACAUAAGCAUUGAUUAAGGAGGAGUUCCAUCUAAUAUUGUUAUGAUGUAUUGUAUGCUUAGCAUAUUACUAAUAGUUGAGUCAGUUUAUAGGCAGCGCUAGAUGCAUUCAUAAAAUGUUGUUCUCUGAGUCAUAGUAUUGUAAUAAUCAAUAUUUUCAUGAGCAAUACAUAUUUUUUUACUGAUGUAGAUGCAUAAUCAUCAAAUUGGGUUAUCAGUUUUUUAUGUUCUCCUAUAGCUGUGUCAUCAUUUAAUUAACUCAAAAUACAUCUUUUGAUAUACUUUUAAUUGAGUGUAUAUUAUAAAGAACAAAUAUAAAAGACCAUUAACUCUAAUUAAACACAUAUUUUUAAAACUAAAUAGUCAGUAAAUUUUUAUAACUAAAUAGUAAAUUUAAAAGGACUCACAGAACAUCACACUACAAAUUAAAGUUAUAAUGAACAAGAAAAAAAAAAAGGACAGAAAAUGGCAGCUCCUUUGACCUCUCUUUUACAUGUUUGAUUCCUUUUGUUUUCUAUGUAACAUAUAUCAUAUCCUUUAAAGACAGACCAAACACCAAAAGAGAGAUCAAGGCAGUGUUUCUGUUUUUGUUCUUUUCUUUUUAUCUGUUCUUUUCUUUCUUUUUGGUCUCUUGUUUAUGCAAGGGAAAGCGAUGCCACAAUGUGAAAGAAUUGAAGCUUUUCAAGAAGGUCUUUAGCAUGGUUUGUGGCUCUACGUUCAACUCGAUAAAAGAGCUCUUCGCUUAGCCGAUCACCGAUAUGGGCAUCGACAAGGACACCAGAGACACUCCGGCAACUGUUGGCCAAAGCUCGACCAACCUCUGCUGCAUCGUCGGGCUGGUUCACUACUAAUGGACUCCCUCCUUUGAAAACUUCAAGUUUGUUUAUGGAAAAUGAACCAUCAGCUUCUACUACCUCCUUGAAGUCUUGUAAGCUCGGUGCAUACACUGGAAUGUUGAAGCUAUCACGUUUCUCAUUGCUUAUCAAUCCCUACAUAUUACCAUUAACACAAACUCAUUUAACAAUUACAUACGUGUCAUUUACUUUCUAAAUCAUAAAUAUUUUUAAACGUUGAUGUAUUAAUCAAAAUAAUACUUAAACCAUAUGGAUAAUUUGUGUUUAUUAUCAGUAUGAUAUAAUGAAAAAUGAUCUCAUUCACUAAUGUUUGGGUGAAAAAGAACAAAGAAGAUAAUAGAAAAUGCAUGCAAUUCCAUGAACAAUAAUACAAUAAUGUGGGAGGGGAUAUCCACUAAUGACUUGCCAACACAAUGAUUUUAGUUGCGACAAGUGGACGGGUGGAUGGAGUUGUCAAAGGAAGCCAUCAAACGGUCAGAAAUGAUUGAGGGUCGAAUGAUGGCCAAUAGAAAAUCAUGAUAAAAAAAAACAAAAGAAAAGAAAAAGGGGAGUUUAGUGAGAGACAGGAAACACCCAAUUAUUAUUAUUAGUAUAAAAUUUUGAUGUGUGCCUUUGAGAAAGCUUUAAGUUAUGCUUUUUGGUCUGCUAAAGAACAUAUAUGAACAGAUGGUGGGAGCAUUUUUCACAUUCCAUUUUUACGUAAGAUACUUCCCAAUCAAACAAAUUUAAUCAACGGUGGUGAUUAUUAUGUCUAUGCUUUUUAUUUCUUACACCAAAAAAAAAAAAAAAAAUCCCUUUUUUUAAAAUACUAAAUUAAGCUUAUAAAUAUGUUAUCUAGGUUCAUAAGUUUGAAUGUUAUGUUAUGUGUUCUUACUCAUGUUUUAAAACAUCAAACAACACCUUGAAAAGUAAAUUUGAGGAAGCUUUUUCCAUACUUUGAUGCAUGCUUUUUUUUAAUAUAAAAUUUAGUUUAUAUCAAAUAUGAUUUGGACACAUGUACCAAUUGAAUUUAUAUACUUUAUACCUAGAAGUUUGAUCCUACAACUUUUUAAUGUGAUCCUCAUAAUUUGGAUGUGUUGGCUUUAUAGUUUUAACUCAAUUCCUACAACAAUUUGAUCUAAACUAAUUAGAAACCAAAUUGAUGCAAAACUCCAAAAAAAGAAAAGUAUUAAAUUAUAAAUAUAUUUGAAAAUGGUACCUCUUGGACAAGAUCAUCCCAAGCAUCCUGAAAGUGGGUCCCAAAGAGGAGGCCGGCUCCGCCUUGGUCGGUGGGGUCGAGUGAGGUCCGGCCCAAGCAGACAAGGAACAUGGACCCACCUCUCUUCAGUUCCUGAGCCCUGGCCCACAGAAACCCUGCCAAGUCCGUCUGAAAUUGCUUCCGGUAAGCCUCCGCCGCCGCCUCGUUUGCCCCGUGGAUGAACACUCUCCCUCUGUUGUACGCCAUCGAUCUUCCAUCCACCACCGUCUCCGGCACCUACAUCUCAAUCAUAAAUUAUCUCUUGUAUUUCUUCCAUUUUCAAGUUUUUUUUUAUUUAUUUGGUUGAUCAGGUCAAAAAAGCACUUCCAGACAUUAUUAUAUAGUGAACUAGGUACAUAAUUCAAAUGAAAUCAAAAGAAAAAUUAAUGUCCAUAAUAAAAUUAGAUUGACAUUUAUACAGAAUUUUGCUAUAUAUAUAUAUAUGCAUGAAUAUACUAAAUAACAGUAACAUUAUAAAAUUCAAUAUUCUUAAAACUUGAACAUAAAAAAAUGAUAUAAACAAGAAAGAAAAAAGUUGAAGUUAAUUGAUUGAAUUGGUCGGUAUAUUCAAUGCAAAAAAAAGUUUCAGAUGGUUAAUUAAACAUAUGAACUUUUCUUCUCUUUCUCAAAAUUCCAAAAUAUUCAAUAAUUAAAAAACAAAAAAAACUUUCUUUAAUUCUCCUCGGGGAUAUUAAAAUUAAACCCCACCUAAAACACAAACAAAAAGUCAAAAUUUACGAUUUUUUUAAAAUAUCAAUAGCCAUGCAUAUAUAUUAUAUAACCAAAACAAUAAUAAUAAAAAAUAAAUAGAUUAUACAAAGUAUCAAUCAAGUUUUCAUUUGUCAUUAAACUUUAAAAUAAAUUAAAUGUGUCAUAUAUAAAUGGCAUGUUACCAAUAGCAUUAAAAAAUUAAUUAGGCGAAUGAUUUUAUAAGUGAAAAUUUGAUAUAUAUAAUUUUAAAAGUCUGGAAAAUCUUUGUUAUCUCGCAAAUUUUCAACCUUCAUUUCAAUCAAAGAAAGAAAGAAAAAAAAAACUCCCAAAAGAUAUUUUGUUGAAGUAAAGGGCUCAAAAUCAAAGAGUUCCUAGACUUUUAAAAUUUAGAAAGCAAAAGAAUAUAUACAUAAUGAGAGAAAAACCUGAGAGAGCCAAUGCAAGGAAAAGGCGGAGUGGAAAAGGUCGAUGGACCUGGCCGGAAAUAGACGACGGUAGAAGGAGCCAGGAACGCCAGCAGCAAAGUAGGAGCGGUGGUUGUCGGCGGCGAGACAUUCCUCCAUGCUGCCGCCGUAAGUGGCCAACGGUGGGAGGAGUUGGAAGAGGGUAUUGAAGUCAUUUCCAGGGAGAUCGGAGAAAAAGGCGGUGAACUCCGGCGGGUCGACGGCCAAAGCUUCGAAGCGCUUUAUAAUGUGUUUUAUGAUGACAUCGAUGAUGUAAAUGGUGUUGCUGCCGCAGCUGCAGCCGAGAUCCACCACCACGAACGGCUCUUCCGGCGAGUUUAAAUGAACUCCGUCCAAUGUUUCUUUUAGAAGAUGAAGCAUCGAUCUGGCAUGUUGAGCCUACAUUUUAUUUUUCAACUUUUAGUUACAUCCAUUGAAAUUUAGACCUAUAAUUAUUGUGUCGGUUUUCUUGUGUCGUGAUUUGACCGACGUUAAUUAAGGUUAAUUAGAUAAUUGAGUGAGUUUCACCUCAAUUAUUCAUAUAAGAAAAAUUGAGAAAAAAGAUUUCAUAGACCUUUUGAUUUGGUUAUAUAUGUUUAGAUAAAAACAAACAUAGUGCCAAGAUAACUUAAUUCCAACAAAGUCAUAUAGUUAAGAAUAAAAAUUACUGAGCAAGGAUAUAUACCUGAGCUUGAGAGUUGUUAGCAUAGCUUGUUUCCCCUUUACCUCCUUUCAUGCUAAGCAUUCGUUCGAGUUUCAUGUUCGAAACGACGACGUUGUCGCCCUUAGGAGUCAUAGAAAGGGUUUGAAGGUUUUAUCUCAAAGCUUGGGAGAAGGAGAGAGGAGAGUGUUUUGUGAGAAAAGGUUUUGUGAAGAGAAGACACUGAAGUUAUGGAUGAAAAGUGGUUGGGUUAAGAGAGUUGGAUAUUUAUAAAGAACAAAAGGGCUAAAAAUCAUAAUAUUCAAUUUUUUAUUUUUUUCUCUUUUGGUACACAUUAGUUUAAUUUAAUUUGAUUGCAUUAUUAGUGGAUAAGGAAAAAUGAUAAUAAUAAAGGAAAGGUAAAAGAUUUAUGGGGCAGAAAUAGAAAUGAAUCUAAAUAUUGGGGGUCACAUGCAUAAGAGAAGAAAGUCCUAGAUUUCCGCCGGAUUUUGAUAAAUAUUGUAAAUCAAUGCUUAAUUAAUAUUAUUAACCCUAGUUUUGGCUGCUAAUGCAAACUAUAAAAACAGAACCUAAUCAUCAACUUAACUGUUUCUCUAACAAUAUUAUUUAUAUCUACCGUUGCUAAAACUUAAUUAUUUGUUAAUCAAAUUCAAUAUAAUCCCUAAUCGUUACUAGGGAGAGCUAAUAGCAUCUAUAUAUAUUAAAUUAAAACUUUGAAGAAAAAUUAUAUGGUUUAGGUUAAUAGUUAAAAUAAGAGUCUAUAUGACGACUUUUCAUAUCACGAGUUUCGAGUAAUUGAAAAUAUGUCAUUUUGAAUUAUAAACAGUUUUGAGCAGUAUAUCCUUGAUAAAAACAAAUCUUUGAAUUGUAAAUUAUUUGGGGUGUACUAACGUUUUUUUAUUUUUUAAUAUAAUUAGAUGUAUGGAUCCAAAAUUUAAAACCUCCUUUGCUUCAAUUUAUAUGUGAACUGAUGUUUUUUUUUUUUUUCUUUUUUUGAUAAUGUGAUUUUAAAAAAAAUGUCAAAAAUAGGAUAGGAUAUAUGGAAACUAAACAAAAAAAAUACGUUAAUAGUGGAUUUCUUUAUAUAGUAUAUCUCAACUACAAAUUUCAAUCCAAAAAUAUAUCUUUCCUUAUUAAUAAAACUACAAAUUUCAAUCCAAAAAUAUAUCUUUCCUUAUUAAUAAGAAAAUAAUCAAAAUUAAUAGAAAAUAUGAAUUUAAUAAAAAAAUUAAAAAUGAGAGAUUUGAAAUAAAAUAAGAUAUUUUUAGGAUUACAAUUUAGAAGUUGGAAUAUUAUAUAUAUAUAUAUAUAUAUAUAUAUAUAUUAUUAGGAAGGAAAGUGGUGGAACUAUUUUUGACAUUAUCUUUUAAAAUUACAUUAUUAAAGAAAAUAGUGAAUUGAGAUAUAUUGAAUUUGAUGGUUGGUCUCGUAUUCAAAAGUGAUUAGCUAAAUCAAAAUUAUGUUUUUUUUUACUAGCUUAUUUUCGGUAAAUAGUUUAAAGUCAUCUUUUUAUAAGCUCUUUUCUAAAAUUUCUUCAAAAAUUAGUUUUUAAAUUAAUUCAAAUAUUUUAAAGUACUUCUUAGCAAUUAUUUUUCUAGAAAAGUUUCUUUUAUCGUCUAAUUUUUAUUUAAUAAGCUUUAUUAAAACCCAACGUUAAAUUAUUAAUUUAUUUUCUAAACAAAUGAUAUCAAACCCAUUAUUGAUUGCUCAAUGUAGAAGGAGAUAAUUGUUUGGUCAAAAUAUAACUAGUAGUCACUUUGAGCUUGGGCUUUAUGGCAUUUUUCUUUUCCUAGCAUUUCCUAAUUACAAUGAUUUUAGUUUUUAUGCUUCUAGGAAGUAACUAUACGGAAUAGAGAAAACAACACAAUUGAUUUAGAUAUAUGUUAACAAUAAUGAAAUAUGUAGUUCAAAUUCCUUAACUACAUACGCUAACAUUUUUGUUGAUAUUUCAAACAAUUUUAAGUUUAAUUUAACAUCAACAUGAUAAGUAAAUUGAUAUGUUCAUUCUGUUGUAAAAAAAUCAUCCAUUAAAUCUUCAAGUUAAAUUUUUUAUUACGACUUUUCAUUGAGAGAAGGGUUGUAUGUAAUUAGAGAAAUGAGCAAGUGGUCACUAAUCAUCCUAUAUUGACCCUUGAUCAUCAUUAAUUUAAGACAAUGAAAAAGUUGAAAGAUAAACUUUGGAUAAAAUAUGUGUUCUAAGUUAAGUAAAAUCAAUAAAAAAAAAUUAAUAAAGUUAUUUUAAAAAAUAAUGUUAAAAAUAGAGUAGGAGGAAAAUCAAUUUUCAAAAUUUCUUAUUAAAUUCGCAUUUUUUAUUUUAAUUGGAUUAUUUUCUUAUUAACCAUUUUUUUCUUUAUAUAUUAUAUGGAAUAUUCUAAUAUUCAAAUUCAAUCCUAAAAAAGGUUUCAUUAUUGAAUUGAAAUGAAAUCCCAUUUUAGUUUGAUUAUUUCCUUAUUAACAUUUAGGUUCCAAUUUUAAUACAAUCCUAAAGAAGGUUUCAUUAUUAAAUUGAAAUGACAUCCCAUUGGUUUGAUUAUUUCUUUAUUAACAUUUAGUUUGUUCAAUCUUCAAAUUUUCAUAAAAAUAUUUGUUUAAAAUUUUAGUUACAACAUAUUUUAUUAUAUAUUUUUUAAUAUAUAUAUAUAGAAAAAUAAUAUCACACCUUUUUAGCAUAGUUGUUUGUUAAUAUAUAUCUUCUUAAAAAAAAAGUGGAAAUUGGAAGAAAAAUAAUGUAUAACUUUGACAUGUAGGAUGUUAAAGAAAUAAUCCAAUUAAAUUAUGAAAGGUAAAUUUGAUAAGAAAAAUUAAAGAUAGAAAUAUUUAAUAUAUAUAUAUAAAGAAAAAAAGAAAUAGAAUAAAGAAGUUUGUAAUAAGAAAAUAAUCAUUAAAAUUGAAAAUAUGAUUUUAAUUUAGUAAGAAAAUAUAUUUUUAGGAUUGAGAAAUUUAAUAUAUAUGUAUAAAGAAAAGAAAAAAAAUUAUAAAGAAGAUAACUCAUUGAAGUCGUAGACCCUAUCACAACUUGGGUAGAAAACUCAUCAAAGUCAUGACUUCAUUAUCUUAAUUUUGUCAAUACUUUACCUCCAACUAAAUUUUUAAAAUAACAUUAUUACUAAUGAAAAUCUAAAAUGAAAAUAUAUUUUUUUACAAAAAGAAAAACAAAAUUAUUACAUGUUUUUUAGAAUUACACAAAAAAAAUAAUUUCCAAUAAUUAAUUAUAUUAUAUUUUUCACAAGUAUAGAGCCAAAAUUUUAAUACAAAGGAUAGAAAGACUAAAACCAUAUACACUCAUAUUAUGUUAAAAUUUUAGUGUAAUUAUGCAAAGAGACUUUAAUUAUAUUCAUGGCUUUAAAAAGAGAGUGAGAUAAUUAAUUACCACUUUAAAGUAAUUUUAAAAGUUACCAAUUAUACAAGGGGAUAUGAUGGUGUGCGUAAUAUGGAAUUAAUUAUAUAUAAUCCAACUUUGAUGGAUAGAUUAGGUUAACUUUAAGAUAAGCAUAAAAUAUAAAUAUAUAUGAAUUAUGUAUCAUGAUCAGUAAUGAAGUUGAUAAUAAUUAAUGAAAAUGAAAUAAUAUGUAAUUUGGAGGGAUAGUUGCUCACUGAUUAAUAUAUGUCUAAUUAAUUAAACCCACAUAUUAUAUACUCAAGAACAGUCAUUAAUUACAAAGCACCUUCACCACUUUUGAUUAGUUUUACACAAAUCAUUAUGUUAUUUUUGGGGUUAUGACUAAUUGAGAGGGUGUGGUAAUUAUGUAUUUUAAAGAGUGGAUUAACAAAUUAAAGUGUUCUAGCCUGAUAAUCAACAGCAAUUCUAUAAUAAUAAGGUGUAGAAAUGAUUGAAAGUUUUUGGGUAAAAUUACCUCAUAUCAAUUCAUUUAUCUAAAUAUUAUAAUGUAAUUAACCCAACAAACAGAUAAAAGAUUUGUUUUAUUUGAGACAUAUUAUUGAAUGAAAAUGAUCUAAAGAUGAAUGGAAUUUUGUUUAUGAAAGGAUAGAAUGGGAAGGUAUGUGUAGCCAUGCAGGGAGAUUUAGGAACAAUAAUGGAUGAAACCCUAAAAUAUCUUCAAUAAUUUCCAUUUAACAAUGAAGCUACAAGUGGAGGGAAAGGAAGAUUAUAAGAAAAUAAAACUAUGGAUGAAAACUUAAUUAAACAUUUACCAAAUUAAGCUUUCAUUACUGGUAAUUUUUCAAGGGUUGAGUAAUUAUUAUUUGAACUUUUAAUAUAUCAUCCUAUUGUACUAUAUACUAAAACAAAUGGUGAUUUUUAUUGAUUAACUCAUUACAUUACAACUUCUUCCUUGUUUCUAAAAAACAAUCAAGCUUAUUAACCCUUUAUUGCACCUUUAAACGUCUUCGUUUUUGUUUGUGAUCCACUGUUUGUUAAUAUUUUUAAAAAUUGAUUUUAAGAUUUUGAAAAUUAAAACCUCAUUUAAGUUUUGAAAUCUUUUUUUUUUUCUUUUUCUUUUUAAUCCUUUUCAACAUUAAGUCAAAAUUUCAAAAGUAGUUUUGAAAAACUUGUUUUUAAAAUGUGAUAUGUAAAUAAAUUCUAACAAGGUGAUAGCAAAUUGGUUUACUUUUUAAAAUAAAAAUAAAACAUUGAUCAAUUGGUUACCAAAUUGAGGUAAGAAAGGUAGAGUUUCUUACAUUGGUUAAGAAUUCAACUUUUUCAUGUGAUGGAGGUGUAAAUCAUUAUAAGAAAUUAUAAGAAAUUGGGAUGAAUUAAUCUCAAUUUGAAUAUAUAGUUUGAGAGAUAAAUUAGUAAUUAGCAUUUCUAUAAUUGUUGAACUAAACAUUCCUCCCUGAGUGGAUAAAAUAUAUAUACAUUUGAGAUGAGAAGAAAAAAGGAAAGAAAUAAAAAAGAAAAGGAGAGAAUAAAACAGCCCACCAACCAAAGAGCAUUAUAAUUACAUUCCAAAUAGGGAAACAAUAGAGUACUCUUUUCUCAUCUUCUUAAAUACAUAGAAUCAUAAAGCUUGGCAUGCAAUGUGGUUGACAACAUUAUGAAAUAAGUAAUCAAUAAAAGUGUAAUUUUAAUUUUCUUUUAUUUAUGAUAUAGUUUUAAAUUAAUUAAUUUUUUCCUUCUACCCAACAAUUAAAUAAUUGAAGGAUAAUUAUAGGUUAAUUAUAGUGUGUGUGUGUAUGUCAAAAUACGUAUUUAAUAUGUAAUGAAAAUUAUUAUUUCAAAACAAACAAAUUAGAUAACAAUAAUUUGGUAUGUUUCUUAAAAGUUAAUUGUAUAAUAUUGUCUUUUCUUCUUCUUUGAUGUCUUCAAAUGUACAACAAUGAAGAUUACAAUCACUUUAUACUUCUCAUUUAAAACAAACAAAAAAAGUUUUUAAGUAUAUUAUUAUAACUAUUUCUUUUUUCUUUUCUUAAAAUAUGGCAUCCCUUUAAAACAAUAGAUGUUAAUUGUGCAUCUUUACAAAAAUUCAACUAUCAUCCAUAUUAAAUUUUAUUUUAAUUUAAUUUAAAAUCUCGCAAAUAAAAUGUAGAUUAUUAUGUUCGAUAAAAUAAUACAAAUUGUUGUUAUUUAAUUAAUGUCUAAAGUACUUGGACAUAUCUUGUUAUCUUAAUGGUUAAUGUCGUAAUCUUCCAUCUCCGAGGUGGAAGAUGGAAGGUUUAAUCCCUUUCUAUCAAUGUUGUAGUAAACUUUGUCAAUUUUUAAUAUAUGUUUUAUGAUAAUUUAAAUUGCAAGUUAUUUUGUUUAAUGAAAAUAUAUUGAUAAAAUUUGAAAAAAAAUAAUUAUCUAUCAAAAUUUCAAAAUAAAUGUUAAACACAAAAGUCUAUUUGCAAAAGAAUACAACUAGAUCCCAAGUACUUGUAAAUAUAACACAAUACAAUUUUUUUUUGUAAAUAUGGAAAAAUUUAGGUCCAAGUCUCGAAGUUUUAUCAUUUGUAGAAGUCUUUCCAUAAGAAACCAUAUCAUUAAUAGAGAAGUUCGUAUUAUGAGAAUCCUAGUAUCAUGAUCAUAAAUGUGUUUGGAAAAGGUUUAUUAUUGAUAGUGUUAUGAUAAUGUGUUUGGAGGAAGAAUUAUGAAUGAUAGCGUAUGUGUUCGAGAAAAGGAUUAUAAAUAGUAGUGUUAUGAUAUUAUGUGUUUGGAGGAAGGAUUAUAAUAGGUACAUGAUACUAUUUGUUUGGGUGAAGGAUUAUGAAAAUUAUUUAUUAUUAUUAUUAUUUUAAAUUUAAUAUACAAAUAUUUGUAUAUUUAAGUUACCAAAUUGUCAUAUUUUUGUAAAACAAGUUAUAUUAGUUUUCUUAAAUACGAUGUCCAUUUUCAACGAUUUUUUAUGUGAAGUGUUUUGUGCCAAUAAAUUAUUGUUAGUAUUUUAAGUUCAUAUUCUAACUCCAAUACACAAAUUAUAUAUAUUUAAUUUACUAAAUCAUAUUAGUUUUCGUAAAACAAUUUUCAGUAAUUUAUUCAAAGACGACGUCCAUUUUCAACCUUUUUUAACAUUCGGUUGUUAAGUGCGAAUAAAUUAUAUUUUUGUUUUUUAAUUGAUAUUCUAAAUUCAAUAUACAAAUUACAUAUAUUUAACAAUUGAUUUAAGCCAAGUAUUAGCACCAUAGUUUCAUUCAAACGAAACAAUAUACGAAGAACAAAAUAGUUUAUAAGAAGAGAGUUAUAAACUGAAGUCAAUUAAAUAGAACACAAUCCAUAAGUAAAAAUAUAAUUAUUAUUACUUUUAAUAAAUUCAUAUUCUAACUUCAAUACACAAAUUUCAUAUAUUUAAUUUACCAAAUCACCAUAGUUUUCAUAAAAUAGUUUGUAGUAAUUUCUUUAAGUACGACAUCCAUUUUCAACGUUUUUUUACGUAAUCGUUAGCGAUUAAAUUAUUAAUUUUUUUUAAGAGAAUCAUAUUCUAAAUCCAAUAACAAAUUUCAUAUAUUUAAUUUACCAAAUCGUCGUAGUUUUCGUAAGACAAUUUGUAAUAAUUUCUUUAAAUACGAUAUUAAUUUUGAACAAUUUUUACGUAAUUGUUACGUUCGGUUAAAUUGUUAGUUUUUUUAACUUCAUAUUUUAAAUUCAAUACACAAAUUUUCUAUAUUUAAUUUACUAAAUCAUCAUAGUUUUCGUAAUACAGAAACAAAAGGAAAAUACAGGUCAAACGGUGUAAUCACGAUAAAUUACCUAAUUCAAGAGAAAAAUAAGAAAUUAAAAUUUUAAAUUAAUAUAAUUGUACUAAAUUCAUAACUAGUUGUGUUUUUUAAAUAAAAUGAUUAAAAUUAACAAAAGUAUAAAAAUUAUAGAUGAGAAAAAGAUAGAUUAAAGCCAACAUGAGCUUAAUUCAACUGAUAGCCGUUCAAAAAAUUAAUUAAUUAUAACCCUUUUCUUGUAACUUUUUCCUCCCCAAACACAGGCAUAGAGUCUAUAAAUUUUAAAUUUUAAAAAAUGUUAUUAUAUGCUAUAAUUAUUAUUCCUACAAAUGUUAUCCAAUUAAUAAUACAUACAAAAAGAUUGGAUUGGACAUUUCUCUUGUUAAAAUGAAUAUAAUAGAUUUAGACAAACAAAAAUUCACUAUGUGUAAUUUGUUACACCACCCCAAUCAUAGUUAACCUUCUCGAUCAAAGAUGUAUAUACACAUAUUUAACUUCAAAUGGACAAUUAUAUAGAUAUUAUAAUUAAUCUUAUUUACUAUAACUAGUAUGAAUACUUGUUUUAAUCUUAUUUACGUAAACACUUAGCUUGUUUAAUAUUUUUUUAGUACAAUAGAGUCGUCUAUCAUAAAUCUCUUUAAUCAUUAAUACAUACUAUAGUGUUAGAUAAACACAAUACUCAACAACAUUUAUUUGGCAGCUAAAAAGUGAGUUAUAGUCUAAUACCACCAAGGAAAAAGGCAUUCAUGUGCCCUCAAUCUGGAUAAAACAAGAUCGAUUGGUGGGACAUAUUGGCUUGUUCAAAAAAACCUACUCUAAAAAUGAAAUAUUCGUAACUCGGGUUGCUGAGGAUGUAUACAAUCAACUUUUUUUUCUUCAAUUUUUUAAAAGUAGUUUAGUCAUUUGUAUUUAACAGUUUAAUUAUAUAUUUAUAAUCAAAUGUUAGAAUUGCAAUCAAACCCCAAUCUAGAAGGGUCCCAACCACUAACAAGUACGGAAUAUUUUGAUACGAAUUUGGGUAGACGAUCCAGCCACAUUAAAAGCUUUGUUGGGGCUUCAAACCUAAAUCUAUGAGAGGUAGCAACUCAUCAAGUAUAUCUACCGUAGAAAUGCAACAAGAUUAUAAUAUGAAAGUGUGGGAACUAAAAAUUAUUUUAGAAGAAUCUCAAUAAAAAUGGAAGGAAAACUUGAAUAGUAUAAAAAAAAAACAAAUGAAAGAGUAUAAUAGGAGACAAAUUGAAUAAAUGAAAAAAAAAAUGAACAAAGAGAAUAACUAAUGUAUUAGAUAUGAUUAAUUGAUGUUAUAAUUGUAGUAUAUAUGCUUAGUUUGGCCAAUUUGUUGCUAUUAUGAAAUUAUCAUAGCAAAGUAGUUACGUUUUACUAUUAGUUGCAGGAGAACGAAUGAUUGGCUAUCUUACAAUAUUAUGGUAGCCUUAAUUGGUUGUUUUAGUGUGUUUGUGGUGGGGUGGGUAAGAAAUCAAAUAACUCCUAAUUUUUUUUAUAAAAUGAGAGAAAAAAACUUCAUUAAGAACACAAAUCUCACCAACAAAGGUAGAGAAAAUCCAAUUCAAAAUGAUACAAGAAGCCUUACCCACCUCUUUGGAAGGAGAAGAAGAGAAAGGAAUAAAACAACCCCCACCCACCAUUCACCACAACCAUCUGAGCCAAACAAUUGACAUGUCCAUUUGUCGAGCACGGACAUUAUAUAAAGGAACACACAUGGGUAGAUAAAGCAAAAGCCACAAUAUCUUAAAUAAACUCCAAAAGCUCAGACAGAUCCAAACUCUUAUUAGAUAAAGCAUUAGUAAAACUCAUUACAAUCAGACUCAACUGGAAUAGAAGUGUGAGAGACAAAUGCAAAACAAUCAAUAAAAGUAGUCAAGCUUUUCACAACCAUCAGAGCCUCAAGAAAUUUAAUGAGCCAUCAGAAGUGCAUCCAAUCACAACUAGCAAGAACAAGAGAUGUAGAGGAGUCGUGAACCAUCCAACUAAUCCUACCAGCCUCCUCACAAUCACACCACGAAGCAUCCGAGUUAAGUUUUGAAAGCCCGUGAAAAGGUGGGGUUCAAGAUUCAUGACUCGAUUGACUCUUCUUUCUGGACAGGCUAGACAUACACCUAUAGAACUCAAAGAACUCCUCCACAUGUAAGGCAAUACUCUUCAGUAACCCUCGUUUUAUUAUCCGAGCAAAGGACACUAGACUUGAAAAGGUCAUUCUUAAAAUUCUAUAGAUUCCAACACAACGAUUGUUGUGAUCCUCCAUCAAAGCCCUUAAGAUUUUGAACAACCCCAACCUAGCAAUCCACCAGGCUUCCAUAACACCUAAAAUCAUUCAAAAAGCAAGAUAAGGAAGGGAAUAAAUAGAGCCAAAUACUCUUCGUAAAUUUACAACGUCCCACAAUAUAGGACUUGUAGACUCCACAAAGUUCCUGUAAAACAAACAAAGGGGGUUAGUAUCGAUUCCUCUCAUAGCAAUAUUUCCAAGAGUACUUGGAAAUGAAUUAAAAAUGUCCUUCCAUAGUGAGAGUUUUUUUAGAAAUGACAUGUGGGUCGAAGUUCAUGAGCAAAGUUAUAUUUCCUUGUCUCACAUUAAUAGUUUUAGAAGAGAUGAGUGGGCAUAGAUACCAAAGAAAGGUAAGUGGGAUAUAAGUCUAUUAGUGGUAAUCGCAUAACCAUGUCACCAUAUGCUCGCCAUCGCUGCCGUCCGUUCGAUCGGACAGGGGGUUCGGGUAACCGCGCUUGCACAAAAAAGGAUGUAAUUUUCAUUAUCUAUACUUUUUUGUGAAUUUACAUUUUUAUCCCUUUCACGUCUCGUUCUCUAACAAGACAUUGGAUAUCGGUUGGUAUCUGGGACACACAUCGCUCUCCUGCGCUGCCUUAAACGUUCGAUUCUAUCUGGACAUGUGUCGCACAACCAGCAGCCUUUGUUCGUCUGAAUCUGUCAUUCUAACGUAUGUUCAUAUGCUCCGUCUCUCCCUCUCAGCCUUACUGUUCCAACAAUCACUCUUGACCUCAAACUUGCUUCACCUAUAAAUAGGAGUCAUUUCCCAUUUGUGAUUAUCACUCUAAAAGAUCAAUUCCAUUCCAACUCUCCCUUCUCCAUUAUCUCAUUUUUAUACUUUCAAAUUUUGAGCUUAAAAAUAUUUUGUUUCUAUUCCUUGUUCUGAUGAGUGCAUGUCAUAAUAAGGAAGUUGUGUUAACCUUGGGGAGCAACCAACAAGACGAUUAACAUCAUGAUCGACCAUAUUUUCUUUUAGGGCAGUGAUUUGUCCCAACACAAAAAUUUAGUAUUUGUUCAAUAUUCUCACGUAUUUUUCAACAAGUUUCACCCGAGAGGGAACCCUAAGGUUCUAUAGCAAUUUCCAAAAGGGUUUUAUCAUUAAAGAGAUCCAAGCACAAAGGGAUCAAUGUCGCAUUAAUGUUAUUGACAGUAAGAAAGUAAGUGCUCUUAACUGAAAAACACUAUUUGAGGUCCAAUCCCCAGAUAAUGUCAUCACCUCCUGAUAAUUAGCAUCCAAUAUGCUUUAAGUUUACAAAGCUAGAGGUCCUUCUAGGAUCUUUGUAAACGGACACAAACGUGACUGACUUACCGGAUGAUUCCAACCAAGAGUUUAGUUAGAAGAUGAAUUACUCUUAGACCAAACUUAGAAUCUAUGAUGGUCACUCCUAGAUCCUAAGACAACUCACUUCAGAAUUAGAUUGAUCAAAACUAAUCCAAUGAAUCGAUUGAACAUCAAACCUAAGACAAGAUUUGAAAGAAAAGAACACCGGAGGGGUUGAAUAAGCAAAAGUUUUUAGCAUUCAUCAUGCCCCUUCUUAUGAGCAUUACAAGUCAUUUUAAAGGCCAAAUCGUCGUGCAUUGACCAAGGAACUCAAAAGUCAUUCAAAUACACUUAAUUGCAAAUUGUAGAAAAUAAGACCAAGGAACUUAAAACUUGAUUGCACAUCAAACUAGUAGUCAUUACUCAAAAACUAGAAAAUAGAAUUUCUUUAAAUUGUCUUAAAUAUGUGCUAUGUAAUUCGAUCCUCAUAAUGGCAACGUUUGACAACCUUUGACAUCACGAAAUCCCAAGAGAUGCAAGUUGGACAGCCACCUCUUCACAAAUUCUGCACACUUUUCUUGUUCCCUAUGCCAUCUUCCAAACUACACAACUUUUUCCGGGCCAUCUUGACUUCAAUCUCUUCUUGACUUGUUGAACUAACAUUAUAAAAAAAUUUGGGUUCAAUAUUCUCAGCCUUUCGUUGUGUAUUUGCCAGCUUUUGAACAUGCAAUGUGAAAGCCUCUUGUAUCUUCUUUGCCUUGCUCCUUGUGAUUGGUCCUUCAGGUACAUGCAAUGGAUUAUUGAUUAAAUCCACAUCACCUCCCUUGUGACUCCUAAGAGAGACACCAAUAAUAGUCUUUGCGUCGUUCUUUCCACAAGCUCAACAUUCCAACUUCCAUUAUCAUUAAUAAAAUCACAAUUUGCCAUGAGUUCACACCAUCAUUGAUGCAAAUAGGAGUUUUAUAUUUGUCGCCAGGAAGCCACAAGUCUUUAAAAGCAUAUACUUUUGUACCGUUACCCACCUUCCAUCUAUAGCCUUUUAGAAAUAAGUCCCUACCUGCUUGUUUUUUGUGGAGUCAAUCCCACUCAACUAUGCCAACAACUUGACUUGGUUGGUUAACUCUGCGGACUUAAGGAGGAAGGUAAAAUGCAAUGGCAUGUAUACAUCUCUACUUCUAAACAGCAAAGAUUUAAAGACUUGGAAAAUAGUGUUGUUGCUUAUGUUAAUGUUUCAUUCUACAAGAUGUGUCAUUGAUCAGGAUCAUUGCAUGCAAAAUGCUCGAUAAAGAUCUCUUCAUCAAGUAAUCGUUAAGUUCUCAUUGUGUACAAGUUUUCCUAUUGUUUGCCCAAGUGUAAGUGAAACAAUAGGUUUUCCAUGACGAUUCAGGGUUGAACACAUGGAAUUAAUAUCAAAGCUUAGUUUUAGAGUCUACUUGUCAAUUGGGCGAUAUAAUUAAAAGAAUAAACUAUACAGUAUGAAGGAGUAAGUUCAAGCUACAUCUACUUAUGUACACUAGAGAAUGACUGCUUUUACCUUUUGAAAACAAAGUUUCACCACUUCCUCAGUUCUUGUUUUCUUAUUUAAAUUCUAAUUCUUUACACUUUAUGGCAGCAAUGUCGGAGUCUUUAGAUAUAUUAUCUCUUUCAUACUUCGUGGCAAUCUUUGCAUCUUUGUAAGUGUCUAGCAGAGAGUUUUGGAGAAUUGCAGCUUUACUUUCUUUCCCAAGCUUCUCUUAUGUUUGAUUGAUUUCAGAAGUCAAUCUUUUGAAUUCAACUAAAUUUUCAUCCAUUGUCUUUGCAAGUUCAACUUGAAUACGAAUAGUUUCUCUCAAAUAGACUUUAUUAGGUACAUCAUUUCCUACAUAUAAGGCCUAUAGUUUCCACACAUCAUGUAAUGUAGCUUCAUCUAUUACUUGCCUUAACACGAUGUUUGUUGAAUUUAAUAACUGGAUUCUAUAAGCAACUUCCUCAAUCUUCUUUUUCUGCUCUACUGUAAGAGUUACAACUGAUAGAGAUUUUGGAUCCUCCAACCCUUUCAAAACCUUUUAAUGGGUCAAAAUCAACUAAAUUUUCUUUGACCACAUAUUAAAAUCAUUAUUUCCAUUAAACUUUUUCGAUUUCAUAUUUUUUUUAUUGCCAUUGUUGAAACUUUCUUCCAGCUCUGAUACCAAUUGUUAAAAUUGAAAGAUGAACUCAAGCACGUGAAGGGUAAAAGAAAGGCAGUAACUCGUUUCAACAAAAGUUAUUUCUCGACCUUAACUCGCCCGAGACAUUCAAUUGAAAAGAAAGAAUAAAAGAGGAAAUAAUGUGAACCUCUUGUCAAGCAGUGUAUCUGAUUUCUAGGGUUAGAGAAAAAAUGUCUAUGGAGAUUACGAAAAGUUUCAACAGAAGAACAUAACAAAAUUAUAGUGGUUCACCUUAUUAAAGCCUACGUCCACUUUUGAAGCAGCCAUGGAGAGCUUUUAUUAAUCUUCUUCAAGAAUCAAGCAAAGUAUAGAGAAUUCUUAGAUGUUUUUUCUUCCUUACGUCUUAUUAAUGUGUAUAAAUUAGGCUUAGUUAAUUUGGGUAAUUAUGUUAAUGUAAAUAAAUUAGGCUUAGUCUAAUUUGGGUAAUUACCCUUGUAUAAAUACACAACUACUUUGGUCAAUAAAGAAGGGGGUAUAUUCUUCAGUAUAUUCCUCAACAUGGUAUCAGAGCUAGGGUUUUCAGGCACCAUCUCAAUCGCCGCCGCCGCCGCCGCCGUCAACCACCUGUGAACGCCUCCUUCCCGAAUCGUCUCGAUACCUCCAGGAAGAGCUGCGUCCCGAAUCGUCUCCAUCCCGCAUCCUCAUCGCGCCUCGCAGCUAUUCCACCACAUCUCGAACCGUCUCCGUCAUCCUCGUCGCGCCGAUUAGUCGCAGCUCCGAUCUGUCUCCGAUCUGUCUCCGCUCCGAUCUGUCUCCAUCCGCGAAGUGCAGGUUGUGCUUCACCCGAGCCGUCUAGGUCCGAUCUGUCUCCGCUCCGCUCCGAUCUGUCUCAAUCGUGCAGUUCGCCGUCUCCGCUCCGAUCUGUCUCAAGUCGAGCCGUCUAGGUCCUCGCCGGAUCUGCCGUCUAGGUCCGAUCUGUCUCCGCUCCGCUCCGAUCUGUCUCAAUCGUGUAGUUCGCCGUCUCCGCUCCGGUCUGUCUCAAGCCGAGCCGUCUAGGUCCUCGCCGGAUCUGUCUCAAUCGUGCAAUCGUCGCUGCAAUCGUGCAACUUACUGCCAUUAUCACCAGAUUUGCCCAGAUCCGUUGCUGCAAUCGUCGGUCGGUUCGUGAAGCAAGCCGUACGCGUCACCUUGCAGCCGUCGUCCAGAUCUGCGUCGCCGUGCCCAUUCCUUUCCUCUCCGUUCGUGAAGACCUGCUGCGCAUUCUCUGUCUCCGUCAAGGCAAAUCUCAGCCGCCAAAUACGUCACGAAUCCGAAUCUGACGAAUCCAGUCACGAAUCAGUCAAAACUCGGCCGAAAAUCCGCAUUGUUAACCUCAAAUCAAAAUGGAGAGAGACCAUAUCUUUAGACCCAUUUCUACCAUACUUGAUGGUACAAAUUAUAUCACAUGGGCAAAUCAAAUGAAAAGUUUUCUUAUUGGAAGAAAACUAUGGCGCAUUGUAACUGGCGACAUCACCAAACCAACGGCAAAGGAAGGGGAUAACACAUUCAUUGAACGUCUCGAAGAUUGGGACAGUAAAAAUCAUCAAAUUAUCACCUGGCUUGGUAACACCUCUAUUCCCGCUAUACAUGCACAGUUUGAUGCCUUUGAUGAUGCUAAAAUAUUAUGGGAUUUUUUGUCUACACGCUUCAAGUCUAUUGGUUUAGCCCAUUAUUACCAACUGCACAGUACACUUGUAAAUCUAAAUCAAGAUAUUGGUCAGUCUGUUAAUGAAUAUUUGGCAGUUCUUCAACCCAUUUGGACCCAACUUGACCAAGCAAACAUCAACAAAGAUCAUCUUCGCCUUAUUAAAGUCCUUAUGGGAUUACGUCCAGAAUAUGAAUCUGUUAGAGCUGCUUUACUACACCGGAAUCCCUUACCCUCAUUAGAUGCAGCUAUUCAAGAAAUUCUGUUUGAAGAAAGGCGUCUUGGCAUCAACUCUACUAAACAAUCUGAUGUUGUCCUUGCCAGCACAUACACUCCCAACAGAGCCACAAAUAUGUUUUGUAAGAAUUGUAAGCUCUCUGGUCACAAAUUUAGUAACUGUCCUAAAAUAGAGUGCAGGUACUGCCAUAAACAUGGCCACAUUCUGGAUAACUGCCCUACCAGACCACCCCGACCUCCUGGCACUUCCACAAAAGAGAAAAUUUUUACCAAACAUGGUUCCUCAUCUGUUGUUGCUGCGACCUCGGAUGAUUCAUCCCUCAUUCAGAUAAGUGAUCUUCAGAGCUUAUUGAAUCAACUAAUUUCAUCAUCCUCCGCUCUGGCUGUUUCAUCAGGUAAUCGAUGGCUUCUUGAUUCUGCCUGUUGUAAUCAUAUGACCUCUGACUCUUCUCUUAUGUCUACUUCUAGCCCUACAAAAUCCUUACCUCCCAUUUAUGCUGCUGAUGGUAAUUGUAUGAACAUCUCUCAUACUGGUACCAUUGAUACUCCCAGUGUACAUCUUCCCCAUACUUACUGUGUUCCUAACCUGACCUUUAAUCUAGUGUCUGUUGGUCAAUUAUGUGAUCUGGGCUUAAAUGUUUCAUUUUCUCCCAAUGGUUGUCAGGUUCAGGAUCCGCAGACGGGACAGACGAUUGGAACGGGUCGCAAAGUGGGAAGAUUGUUUGAGCUCACAUCACUUCGGAUUUCAUCUCCUUCUUCCAUCUCUGCUUCGGUCACUGAUUCUGACACAUAUCAGUGGCAUCUUCGUCUUGGUCAUGCUUCCUCUGAAAAACUUCGUCAUUUAAUUUCUGUUAACAAUUUGACUAAUCUUACUAAAUUUGUUCCUUUUAAUUGUUUGAAUUGCAAACUUGCUAAACAACCUGCCUUAUCUUUUUCUCAAUCCAUCUCUAAUUGUGAUAAACCUUUUGAUUUAGUGCAUUCUGAUAUUUGGGGUCCUGCCCCAAUUACUACUGUUCAUGGUUAUCGCUACUAUGUUUUAUUCAUUGAUGACUACUCUCGAUUUACAUGGAUUUACUUUCUAAAACAUCGUUCUGAAUUAUCUCGCACAUAUAUUGAGUUUGCUAACAUGAUUCGCACUCAAUUUUCCUCUCCCAUCAAAAUUCUUCGCACUGAUAAUGCUUUGGAAUAUAAAGAUUCCAUCCUUCUUUCUUUUCUUUCCCAACAGGGCACUAUUGUUCAGCGCUCUUGCCCUCAUACCUCUCAACAAAAUGGACGUGCUGAGCGCAAACAUCGUCACAUUCUUGACUCAGUACGUGCCCUCCUUCUUUCUGCCUCUUGUCCAGAAAAAUUCUGGGGUGAAGCUGCCCUUACAUCAGUAUAUACAAUCAAUCGUCUCCCUUCCUCUGUCCUUCAAAAUACCUCUCAGUUCGAAAAACUAUAUGGUAUUUCUCCCGACUAUUCUAAACUCAAAGUUUUUGGUAGUGCCUGCUUCGUUCUGUUACAUCCUCAUGAACACAAUAAACUUGAACCACGUGCCCGUCUCUGUUGCUUCCUUGGCUAUGGCACCGAACACAAAGGAUUUCGUUGUUGGGACCCUCUUUCCAACCGACUCCGGAUAUCUCGGCAUGUCACUUUUUGGGAACACACUAUGUUCUCUCGUUUGUCCUCCUUCCACACCUCCUUCUCUAGUCCUCAAUCUUUCUUUACAAACACAUCUGUUGACCUUUUUCCUCUCUCUGAACCCACCUUGGAUACUGAGCUUGCACAAUCUUCACCUGCUACUGCAAAUCUGGAUCCACCGUCUGUCUCCGAUGAUGUUCCUGAAUCGCCACCUGCUACUCCUCUUCGUCGCUCUACCCGGGUAAGAGAACCUCCCCCUCAUCUCACUGAUUACCAUUGUUUUUCUACCAUUGUUUCCCUUGUUGAACCCACCUCUUAUCAAGAGGCCAGUACUAACCCAGUAUGGCAGAAAGCAAUGGAUGAAGAAUUACAGGCUCUUGAAAAGACGCACACUUGGGACUAUGUUGAUUUACCUCCCGGUAAAAGACCCAUUGGUUGCAAAUGGAUUUACAAAAUCAAAACUCACUCUGAUGGAACUAUUGAACGUUAUAAAGCUCGGCUUGUUGCAAAAGGAUACUCACAAGAAUAUGGGAUUGACUAUGAAGAAACAUUUGCCCCUGUUGCCCGGAUGACAUCUGUUCGCAGCUUGUUAGCUGUUGCUGCUGCCAAACAGUGGCCUCUUCUUCAGAUGGAUGUCAAAAAUGCAUUUCUUAACGGCAACCUAUCUGAAGAAGUGUAUAUGAAGCCACCUCAGGGAACUUCUCCUCCUCCCAACAAGGUGUGUCUCCUUCGUCGCGCUCUAUACGGUCUAAAACAGGCUCCACGAGCUUGGUUUGCCACGUUUAGCUCCACCAUUACUCAACUUGGAUUUACCUCCAGCUCUCACGACAAUGCCCUUUUUACACGACAGACAACUCAUGGUAUUGUUCUUCUCCUUCUUUAUGUUGAUGAUAUGAUUAUUACUGGUAAUGAUCAACAGGCCAUAUCCGACCUACAACAAUAUCUUGGUCAACAUUUUGAGAUGAAAGACCUUGGAUCUCUCAAUUACUUUCUCGGUCUUGAAGUCUCUCACCGUUCAGAUGGUUAUCUGUUAUCUCAAGCGAAAUAUGCAUCUGAUCUAAUAGCACGCUCAGGAAUUACAGACUCCACCACAUCUUCAACACCGUUAGAUCCUCAUGUCCAUCUAACUCCGUUUGAUGGUGUUCCUCUUGACGAUGCAAGCUUGUAUCGGCAACUUGUUGGCAGUCUUAUAUACCUAACAGUAACUCGCCCAGAUAUUGCAUAUGUUGUUCAUAUUGUCAGUCAAUUUAUGGCUGCUCCUCGAACAAUUCAUUUCACUGCUGUUCUACGCAUACUUCGCUAUGUCAAAGGCACCUUGGGACAUGGUCUUCAAUUCUCAUCUCAGUCUUCCCUUGUGUUGUCGGGAUAUUCUGAUGCUGAUUGGGCGGGGGAUCCUACUGAUCGACGAUCCACUACAGGAUACUGUUUUUACUUAGGUGAUUCUCUCAUCUCAUGGCGUAGUAAGAAACAAAGUGUUAUAUCUCGUUCCAGUACGGAAUCUGAAUAUCGUGCUCUGGCUGAUGCUACAGCUGAACUUAUAUGGCUUCGGUGGCUCCUUGCCGAUAUGGGUGUCCCUCAACAGGGUCCUACCCUCCUCCAUUGUGACAAUCGUAGUGCCAUUCAGAUUGCUCACAAUGAUGUGUUUCAUGAACGUACAAAACACAUUGAAAAUGACUGUCACUUUGUUCGUCACCACCUCCUAAGCAACACCCUCCUCUUACGUUCUGUUUCUACUAUUGAACAACCUGCGGAUAUCUUCACCAAAGCCUUGCCAUCUAAUCGAUUUUGUCACUUACUUACCAAACUCAAGUUGAUCGCUACUCUACCACCUUGAGUUUGAGGGAGGGUAUUAAUGUGUAUAAAUUAGGCUUAGUUAAUUUGGGUAAUUAUGUUAAUGUAAAUAAAUUAGGCUUAGUCUAAUUUGGGUAAUUACCCUUGUAUAAAUACACAACUACUUUGGUCAAUAAAGAAGGGGGUAUAUUCUUCAGUAUAUUCCUCAACACGUCUUCUUUCUCUCUUUUUGUCAUAUUGAUUUCUCAUACAGUGUUCACUAUUUAUUUCUACUUUACAGAGCAGUUACAAGGAGAUGGGGAUAACAACCUUCAACUAACUAAUCAGUUUUUCUGUUUGAUUUUAGUUGCAGGACCACAGAGCUAAGAAAUUUGUAAUCAGAGACAUCGAGCAGCUCUGAUCGAGAAGUAACUACUUCUUCAUUGAGAAGACUGGGAAUAGGGCACUGGGUGCACCAAAGAUGAACUAGGAUUAAGCAUCAGGAUAUAACUUGCUUUGUCUAUUAAGGAAUCACUACUAGAAAAAUAGGCUUUCUUGACGGUUGCUGUUUUCCUUUCUUGACAUUUUUUUAGAAAAACGUCAAGAAAGAUUUCAUUUUUAAUAAAAAAACGUCAAGAAUUUUUCUGAAACAUCAUUCUUGACGUUUAUUAAACGUAAAGAAAAAAUAAAUUGCAUUUUUGACGGUUUUAAACUAUCAUGAACAAUUGCAUUUUUGACGGUUUACAAAUGUCAAGAACAAUUACAUUCUUGACAGUUUUAAAAUGUCAUGAAUAUUAAAAUUCUUGACGGUUUUAAAAUGUCAUAAAUCAGUUCAUCCUUGACGGUUUUAAAAUGUCAUAAAUAAUACCAUUCUUGACGGUUCUAAAACGUCAUGAACAUAAGUAUACUUGACGUUUAUAAAACGUCAACGUUCACUAUUCUUGACGUUUAAUCAACCGUCAAGAACUUUGCCUUUCUUGACGCUGGCUUCAACUACGGUUUUAAAACCGUCAAGAAAGCCUUCUCUUGACAGUUUAAAAACGUCAAGAGAGCCUGUUUUUGUAGUAGUGAAUCAGAGCACCAUGAUACAACUUGCUUUGUCUAUUGAGGAAUCAGAACACGAGGAUACAACAAGAAUCUCCCGAGAUCCACUGAGAUCUUCUGUAAGUAAUAAAACUUACUCUUCUUUUUAACAGAUCAUAAGCCUAAGUUUGUGGUUUUUGUAUAUAUUGCGGUGGUUAGGUAGAAAUCAUAUAACUUCGACCAAAUUUAGUUACUAGCAUUGUUUUGGAAGAUUCAUUAAAGUGGUAUGAAUUGUUGAAUUGUUCCUAAUUAAGUUUAUGUUUGUGGUGGGGUGGGUGUAAAAUCAUAUAGCUUUGUUUUAGGUAAUUACGUUCUAAGUUUUAUUGUUAAACUUGUGAAUGUUUGUGUUUAUGUUUAUAAAUUGUAAGCGUAUGAAUUGCAUUUAUUCAUCAAGUUUAGACUAAGGGCUCAUAUGGGUGUGAGUUUAUUGAUUUAUUUUAUUAUUAUUAUUGUGAUUAUUGUGAUUGCUAUGUUUUUUUUAAGUUUGAAUAAGUUCAACUUUUCGAUGAGAUGCGUUUGAAGUUAUGGAUUAAGUUGUGUUUGGAGAUUAAUUAGUUUAACAUUGGGUUGAAAGUUUGUCUUACGUUUAAUUUUAAUCUACUAAUGUGCACUAAUAUCUCAACUUCAUUUAUUUGUAGGUAACUUUGAUGCUUUGGAGGUCUCUUUUAGAGUCAAGCUCACAAUAUGUCAACAUCGAGAGUAGUUAAAAUCUACUCUCGACACUAUGUUGAGACCGUCAUAACUGUUUGUAGCUAUCUCUAAAGGAAAGUUGAAAUUUAAAAAAAUAAUAAUAAAAAGAUAAAAAGUGUUCUCUUCCCUUCAAAGUCAAAUAAACUUUUAACUAAGUGAUUACUACUUUUGAAAUCUGGUGACACAUAUGUUUUAACUAAUCUCAAUCUCACUUCCAGAAAUCAAGGUUCAACUUUGAGCUUAAAAAAUAUUCUAAUCAUUAAUUAGGGUGGUAGGUUUUGUGGACUAACCUUUUGGCAAAAAAAAAUCAAAACCUACAAAAGCUAGGGGGUUAUAAGCCAAAGAUUUUCCUUUAAUUUAUCAUAAAAGGACACAUGGCCCUCUCUCUAUUUUCCUAAUACAUGCAUCCUCUCGAACUUAAUUAAAACCUCUCUAUACUACAAUUCAUUGAAAUAUGAAUCUAUUAUCACUUUCUUACUUUAUAUUCAUUGAAUUUCCAAAUUUUUUGAGUUUUAAUUAUUAGUCGAGUGCUAUGAACCCAAAACAUGUCAUGCUUAUGAAUGUACGUAGAUUCUGAUUUGAUAUUAGAAUCUAGAGUUGAAUGGGACAUAAACUAAAAAUUAUGUGUUCUUGAAUUUUAAGAAAAUAAUUCAUUAUUAAUGUGUCUAUAUUUUAGGGAAACUUAACUUAAAAUUAAAAAAAAAAUCAAAAAUCAAAACUUUUAUAAUCCAUUAAUUUAUCACACACACAUAUAGUUGACAGACAUCAUCACAAUUCAUUGGAAAUUAUUAAAACAUAUAAUAAAUGUGCAGAUGACAUCAAAUUUCAAUUGUGUUGACUUGUGCACAUUUACUAAACUAUAACUAUUAUUGAAUAUUGAAAUUGUUCAUCAAAGUGUUUCUAUCAAAUUUGGACAAGCUAAAAAAUUAAUUAAUAACAUUUCAUAAGAUUUUCAAACUAAUUAGUGAAUUUAUCAUAUAUAUAAAGUUCACCUUAUUAGUUCUAUAAUAGUUGAUUUCAUAUUUUCAAUAUAUUUUUUUCUUUAAAAUUUGAACCAAAUUUAUUUAUUUUUAAAUAUCUCAUAUGCUUUAUUUUAGAAGUAAAACUUAUCUUUUUAUUUCGAGGAUUCAACGAUAACAAGUUAUUUGUUCAUGUAUGGUUCAAAGAGACGAGAUUAUCAUAUUCAACAAAAGUAUUAACCAUUUUAUUUCUACUCAUAAAUACUUCUUAAUUAAAUUAAUUUUUUUAUCAUUUAAAUUUAUUAUAAAUAGUCUUACAACAACACAAUAUACAAUACCUUAGUCACAAUAUAUUUCAACAUAUUUAAAGUAAUCAAUUCUCACAUACAUAUUCUAAAUGUGUAUUAUUCGUCACAUUCCAUUAGUAAUCUAUGCUAUGAGGCAUUGUAUGAACUUCUAUUACCCCUUAACUUAGUGACUUCAUUUAAAGAUACCCUUUGACUUAUAUAGUUAAUAAUCAAUUUGAAUAUACAUGCUCCUCAAAAUCAAGUCUUAAGCAACACUCUUAAUAGAUCUUCCCUUUUAUGAGUUCAACCAUGCAUUAAUGUCAACAAUAUGCAUCACAAAACACGGCCCCUACAAUCAUCUUCACUAUGUGAUGAUCCACACAAAGGCAAGUUGGUAUUAUUCUCUUACUACUUUUCGAAACCAAUAACCCUAACCUUUAUUCAUUGAUUGUGAUUUGUGAGAGGAUGGUCCCAAUUUUAAUAGUGAGAAGAAGGAAAUAAAAACAAUAACCCAAUGUGAGAAGAUGUAGAUAAAUGAAAUAAUAACCCAACUUUUUAAAACAAAUAUAUAUACAUUUUUACUUUUUACUUUCGUGGUAUCACGGUCAAAUUAGAUCAACACUAAGUUCAUGUAAGUUGGGAUCCCACAAAAAGAGGCAUUAUUAAUUUAAAUAUAUAUAAAAUAGUUUGAAAAGAAAGUGUAAAUUUGAAUGCAGAUCAUAUAAAAGUUGAAAAUUGAAAUGGAUGCCAUUUUAAUUGUUGAAGAAAAAAGAAUAAUGUGAAGUAAAGUAUAGAAAUGAAAGGGAAGAAAAAGAAAAGAAAGUGAGGAUGUUGGAGAUGGUGUAGUCAAUUCUGUUGAAGAAGCACGCUAUCCAAAAUCAUGAGUGGGAAAGAAAAAGCCCACACACAACCAAGUUUUUCAAAACAUCAAUACUCCCUUUUUUCACAUCACCCCAUUUUUUAUUUUUUUUAUUUAUUCAAACUGCAUUAUCAAUUCCAACUAAUUUUUUUCCUUUUAGUAAUAUAUAUAUAUAUAUAUUAAUCCAAAACACCUAAAAUCUUGUCUUUUCUCUCUCUCUACAAAGUCAUCGCCGCCGUGAUGGUCGCCGGAGCACGAGAUACUAGACGGUUGUUCCUCCUUUUUCUGCCUUUUAAUUUACAGACUUUGUCUUUAACCACCUAAUUAACUAACCCUAUAUAUAUUACCAGCUACCAUCUACCAAAUUAAUAUUACACCUCUUUCAUAAUUCAUUUCUAUACAUAUCAAAUUUUAUGGUUUUAAUUUGUUUGUUAACCUUCUACUACCAUUAAACUCCAAACCUAAUUUGUUGUUAACAAACACAACACACCUUAUAACUUCAAUUAAUACCAUAUUAAAAUAAUAUGAUUGUUGGUAUUUCUCGUGCAAUAAGAUUAUGAUAUCCACAUACACAAGUUGAUCAUAGGUGAAUAGUCCCUUAAUUCUCUAACUUUCAUAUAUAUAGGACAACACGUACAUUAUUAUUCCCUCUUCAACUUUUAUUGUGAUAGCCUAUAUAUUUGUAAGGAAUUGGAGACAGAGAGUUGACCGUUUAUCUAAAGAAAAAAAAUUACUUAUUAUUCCUUCGUUUCUAACUAAAUUGACCCCAUCCACUAAGGAGUUGCAAUAAGAUUAUUAAAUGAGGUUAGUCACAAUAUAAUAUAAUAUAAUAUAAUAUAAUAUGCAAUGUCACAUGCUUAUUCCAACAUCCUUACAUGAAAUUUCAAUAUAAUUUAUUUGUGUUCUAAAAUAGUUAUUGUAAUUCGAUUAAGUUUUUAAUAAUGACGAUUUUGUACUUAAAAUGUGGUUGUCUCUCAAUUAUCGUUCCAUACAACUCUUGUUUUAGUGUGUCUCUAAAAAAAAAGCUAGUCAUCCAUGCAAAAGUGUGACGUACUCUCUUCCUUUUAUUUUUAAUCACCAACUGUAAUUUUCAAAAUGAGACAAAGUUGGCAGAGAAAGGAAAGGAAAAGUGGUGAAAUGGUCAAAAAAGAAGAAACCGAAAAAGAAGUUGUUGGGUGAAUUUUCAACUUUGUGUUUUUCCUUUUGGUUAUUUUGUUGUUUUGUUGCAUGGAGUUAUUUUUCUUUUGUUUUUUCUUCAAAUUUAUAAUACUGUUUGUAGUUGCAGAUUUUUCCAUAGCGAAAAACACGAAAGUGUUUUUGUAAUAUAUUUAUCGCUCAUGAGUGGUUGUUUUCAGGUGGCUUUGCCGGCCGGAAGACUUUAGGGUUUUGUUUUUAAGUAUAGAAGAGAAAAAGAAAGAAGCCUUUUUUUUUUUUUAUUUCUUCAUAAAAGGUGAUGCAAAAUAGAGGGACAAAAUUCUAGCCUUUUUUCUUACAAGCUAGACAACUAAUCUAAACUCUUUGACAUUUUCGUCAUCUUCGUCCUAUAUUCUCUCCAAGGUUUUGGAUUAUUAAGAUACGUCUUUUAACUGAGUUCUGAGUUUCAAUCUUAUCUUAUUUUAUGAUCUAGCAAAAACAUGAAUGCAAAGAUUUUGUUCAUAGAGUUUAGCAAACUCCUUGCAAAUUUGUAGAAAUAAAAUUGAAACAAUAUUACAUAAUUUAGGAUAAAUAUGUUUUUUUUACCCAAAUAACUAAUUUCAAUUUUUACUAUGUUUUAAAGAAAAUAAACUAGGAACAAUUAAGUUGUUACUAUUAAGACUGAGACUUCCAAAAUCAACAAAAGCAAGAAGAAAUUAUAUAUUUAUUAUUAUUUUGUGUUCAUAAAUUUUGAAUUCUAAAAAAGAAUUGAAGGUCUUGUCUGGUAACAAUUUCGUUUCUUGUUUUUCGUUUCGAAAAUUAAGCGUCAUAUUUAUUAUCCUGUUCAUUUCAAUUGACAUCUUUAUCUAGUUGAAUUACUAGAUAAAUUCCAAAAGAAAAACAAAUAUUUAAAAGUUGUUUCUCUUAGCUUUCAAAUUUUGACUUGGAUGACUUUUUAAAAUUUUAAAAGAUAGAUAAUAAAGAAAGAAGAUUUGAGGUGGUAGAAGGGAAGAAAGUAAAAUGUUGGAACUACAAAGUAAGUAGUAUGUACUAAUCUCAGUUUGAUAUAAUGUAAGUAAGUAGAACACUUGUGAUCAUAUCUCCUCCUGUUUAAUUUUUCUUGUUCAUGUGAGGUACAAUCAACUUUGAAUAACAUAACACAUUAUAUUAUAGAUAUGGAAAUUAAAAAGAAAAAGUGGUACUCAUCACAAUUAAUUAAAAAAGUAAACACACUUUGCCAACUCUUAUCAACAUAACUUCAGUGGUCUAAUCGCAACUUAAUUAUAAGCAUCGAAUUUAAAGCAUGUUAGCAACAAAAAAAAAUGAAAAUAGUAACGUAAUUAAGUAUUGAGUAUAUUAUCUUUCAUGCAGGUAAGCUCGACGUGUCUCAUCAACUCUCUCAACUCUCUCAACAUUGGUGUCUGAGAUGAAAUAUCUACAAAUAAUUAAUGAAUCUAUUAAGAAUAUAACAUUGAAUAAUUGUUGAGAAUAUUAGUUUUCAAAUGUUUUUGGUUUAUUCAAUAUAAAUGCCUCAUACGCCCACUCAAAAACUAAUUAUAAUUGGAUUUUGUGUGAAAUAUUUGGCUUCCACCACAGAUUCUAAGAGAUUAUGAGAAUGGUAAAAGGGUGUUCAACUCGUAGAGAUGCUUGGAUAUAUCUACAUAACUCAAGUAGUAUCUUUAAAAAAAAAACUAAUUAUAAUUGAUGAUAAUUUUAGGCGUAAUUAUAAUAUGAUUGAGUGUAUAUCAAUAUUUAAAAAUAUUGCAAAUCUAGUAAAGUGUGAUAUAUUUCAAUCCUUCUAUCAAUAAUAGACUUCACUCAACUUUCACAAAUACUUUUAUAUUUGUAAUUUUUUAAAAGUUAAAAGUGUAUAAACUUAUUGCAUAAAUUAAAAUGGAAAGUUAAAAGAAACUUAAUUACUAGAGAUUAUUUUAUGGUUAAAACCCUAAACCGUUGAUGCAAUUACUUCAAAUGUUGUUUCAAAAGUAGAAAAAAAAUUGACAAACUAUUUACACUUUAUAGAACGAAAAGACAAAAUUCAUUACACGUUUUUUACAAAAGUGCAAAUAUUUUGUCAAAUAUUCUAUUUUUACAAUUAUCCUUAUUUUUAUAAUAAUUUUAAAAAAUAAUUUUUUUCUUUUUUCUCCUAAUAAAUUUGAGUAUAUAAAUCUACUAUUUCUUCUAUUAGAAACAAAAUAGAGUGAGUAAUUCUAGGAAUGGGAGAGGUUGAAUCUCCUUGAUUUGAGUAUGUAGAUGGACAAUGGGUUAUCAUUAUUUAAAAACUUCAAUCAUACGUUAAGAUAAUUAUAUAUCAUAUUGAGUUUAGUUUGACCGUAAUUGAUAUCAGAUAUUUUUUUUUUCGAUAUAAGAGAUUUGAUAUGUCAUGUUCUAUAAUUAUCGUACUUAACAAAAAUAAUAACUCUUUCAAAAAGAAAAACCAAUUAUAAAUUUUGGCAUUAUCUUCUAGUAGACAGAAUAUCCCUAUACACUUCAAAACAAAGUCUCUUGUUUGGGAAACAUUAAUAAAUUCAUUUAUGAUAACCUUCUCAAUUCCAUGCAUCCUUUUUUAGGAACACUCUUCCUCAAUUCCUUCCUUCAUAGAUAUUAAAAUAAUAUAUUGCUUCUAAAAUUUAAUUGACCAUGCAUAUCUUUAUCUCUAUAUCUAAAUAUACACUCUAAUAAAUAUUGCCUUUGUUUGGUUCUUUAUUGACAAACAUAUAUAACCCUAUAUAUAUGUGCUAUAAUUAUAUGACAUUGAAAUGAUUCUUAUUCACAGUGCAUUUAUUAUAUUAUUGUCUCUUUAUUCGUGUCAAUCUACUUUCAUUGACCCUAUUAUAGUUUUCUUGAGUUUUUCCUAAGAAAUUUAAUGAGUUGGUUUUUAAUUAGAAUCCACUUUUUUUUUUAAUUGAAAAAACUACUCAUCAAACUUUUUUUAAUCAAAAUUUUGAAAAUGAGUUGAUUUGAGUGUCAACCUUUUACCGAUCAUGUUACAUAACUAUUUCUUUGUCAUUUGUGUUUGAACCAACUUACGUGAAUUUCGACUAAUUUCAUCUAACGAGUUAGUUUGAUGUUAAAAAAAAAUAAACAAACUUAUGCGCUACUUAAUUUAGUUUUCUAGUCUCAACUGCAUACUCUUUAUUAACCUACAAUCCAUUUGAAUUGAGUAAUUUACCCCCAAAUAUUAACAAAUAAGUAAUUUUUUAAGAAAAAAAUGUUAUAAUUUCAAAUAUAUAGAUUAGUCAUUGUUUAAACAUAAACAUUAUUUGUGCAUUAAAUGAGACAAAUGUCCGUUAAUACGAUAGGUUGGAAAAAAAUACCUUAACACUUUCUUUUGAUCAUAUUACUUAACCAAAAGAAAUGUACAUUUAAAAAUUGUACGAGCACAUUUGUGAAUUAAAAUAACAUAUCAUGAUGUAUCAAAUAAUAAAUUAUAGUGGAAUAUAUUAUUGGGGUUUUAGAUGUUCUCUCUUUUAAAGACUUUAGGGUUUUUUUUUUUUUUUUUUUUUUCUCAUAGAAAAUAGGACAAAAGGAGGGCAUUUGUGGAAAAAAGCAAAGAAAAAGGAAAAUGUGGUGAGAAGUUGAAAAAUGAAAUUGGAAGCAAAAAGCUAGAAGGCUAUGAGUUGAUUAGGGUUAGUUCAUUAAAGUUUGUAGGAGGAGUUCAUUAAAUUUGUAUAGGGAGUUGUAGGGAUUUGCAUCAAAUUCAUCACUUUCUUCUUUCUUUCAUUCCUUCUUUUAAAAUAUAACAUCUUAAUUGCAAAGCAAACUUUUCUUUCUUUUUUUUUCUUGACUUUCUUUUCCCAAUAAUAAGUUUUUAGAAUUAAUACUAAUUAUUUAUAUGCGGACAAAAGAUAUAUAUUUCUUUCUCAAAUUCAAAUUCAAUUUUAAGUUUUAGAAAGCAUGUAACAAGAUAAAAGAAAGGUGUGGAUGUAGAGUAAUAUUUAUAAAAUUUAUUUUUAAGAAUAAAAAAUUACAAAAAUAGUUACAAAGAAAGUUAACCUUAAUUGAAAUUAGAAUGUAAGGCAAGAUGAAAAUAAUUUAGGUUUAGUUAGAUUGUGAAGUCUCCAUUAUUCUAAUACAGUUGGGUUUGAAUUAAUAUUAUAUGAAACUAUACCCAUAAAACUUUUGGUCUAAUUGGGCUUCAAGACUUUGAAAGUUUCACUUGUAACUAUCAACAUUGGCAUUUGUUCUUAAAGAUCAAUAUUGUACAACUUUAAAAUGUUUCCAAAACAAGUUUGUUUUCCUUUAAACAAAUUUUGAUAUUGAGCCAAACUUAGCUAACAUUACACAAUAACAACUAACUACUAUGUAAAUAUAUUAAUAAACAUAUAUAUGUAUGUACAUACAUGUAUUUUGUUAUUGUUAUAAAAAAUAAAAAUAAAAAAGAAAAAGGAAAAUACAUCUCAAUAUCAAAGAGGCAUCAAUCCCAUUCAAAAUCAAAUGUAAUUUAAAAGCUAACGUAUGUUUUUUUAAAAUAAUGAAACUUAAUCGAUAAAUAAAAUAAUGAUUGAGCAUGUUAAAAAAGAAAAAUUUAGAGUAAAAUGAUACGAAACCCUUGAGCCUCAAAUCCUAAUCAUGUUGAAAAAACAAGACUCGAAAAAUUCAAACCUUAACAUGAUUAAUUCAAAAUCAUGUUGGAUUUGACUCCUGAGAUAUACCCUAAAUUUCUUGUAACUCUCAUCAACCAUCGAUCUUUAACACACUUCACAAUCACAGGUAGAUCAAUCUUUACUUUAAUAAAUGCCCCAAAUAUUCAUCUAUUUUAUCACAAGAACACAUAAGUGCAUAAUACGCUUAAAAGCUCUCAAAGUUUGAAACAUAGAUACUAGGUUUUAAAAUCAUAUUCAUCUUAUCCUACGUACAAAUCUUAAUUACAAAUACUAGAUAGCUUUGUAUAACUUUCAAAUGAACUUCAAAAUGAAACUCUUACAUAUUUUACAAGAAAUGUUACAAACUAAACUCUUAAAUAUUUUAUUUAGCAUUGCAAGAGUUGUAACAUUUCAGAGCAUUUAAAAAAUUGUAACAUUUCAACAAUUAUAACCGUAGCUUAAAUUUUCAAAUCAAUCUUUAUUCGGGUCUAUGAUUUAUCCAAUCGUAACUUAAAACUUAGAAACUAAAAUUACAAUCCAACGUGCAUUUUUUAGGUAUAUUUGAUUAAAUAAUGAGAACUUUGUUUCAUGUUUUACUUGGAAUGAUAAAAGUGACCCAUGUUUAAGCUACAAAUAUUAUGUCAAAUUGAAAGAUUAAUUUUAAGUUGGUAGAAGAACUAAAUUGAUGUCUUUAUAUGAAUUGUAAAACUUUCCACAAAAAACUUGAAAACUUCUCAAAGUUUAUAAGAACAUCCAAAAGCAAUCCAACAUUUCAAAUUGUUAUACUAUCAAAUUUCAUAACUUCUAUUAUCAAAUUUCAUAACUUCUAUGUUCCCAACAUCCUAAUUAAAUUGCAUACAUUAAUCUAACUUCAACAUUCACGAUUGAGUUUGUCGAUCUCAGCCAAUGAGCAAUGAGCGCCCUGAGAACGAGAACAGGCUUCUUCGACCUAGUUGCAUAUGAUCAGUGGGGCUGGGGUACUUUUUCUUUUUCAUUUUUUUUAUGUACAUGAGCUUAUUUAGAGAUUACAAACAAAUAGGCUUCCUCUUUCAUCACCUUUUGGUUCUACUAUUCACACGAAUGAGAUAAUUUACAAGUUCUAACGUCACAAAGAAAUGUUGUUUUUUAACUUGAGUAAACAAGAUGGUGACUGAAUCCCUGACUGAAGGCAACAUCACUACACAUGAUGAUCCUUGAAGAAUUGAAAACCAUUUCAGGGUCCUCAAGAGCUAAUCCAUGAAAACUCGGCAAUGCAAUUCCUUCUAAGAGAUACAAGUCGACAAAUGGCACCAAAACUGUUUUGAUCAAAGUUGCCAGUGUCUUCUGCAGAAUUUUAAGAUCAAAGAAAGAUGAAUGGCUUUAUUAUUAAAACUACCAUGAGUUAGUAUGUUACCAAUUGUUUUCACAACAAUUUGCACAAGAUCUUGAGUUUAAGGAAUCCUUCUUCAUGACUUUAUGCUGAAUUUAAUGUUGAAGAUUUUGUAUGAAGCCAUUGUACCUGAAUUAGAUAUAGUCGGAUAUGGCCAAUCUUGCUCCAUUUCAAAGCCAACGUAAAGUCUUCCAUGGUAACAUGUCCAACCAAAUUCUUUUCCAAGAUUUUUGGAAAAAAAGAGGCAGUAAUUUCCUGAUCCAACAAUAAGAAGCAAAAGUUACUGACGAAUUGAGAUAGACCUAAAUCUAAAAGUCUCAUUACAAACAACAGGCCCGACCAGUUCUUCUUGUGUACGUUUCCAGAUAUAUGUAACUGAAGACAUGAACCUCAAACUAAAGGCUUUGGCACGAGCUUACCAGUGAGAUACAAGCAACUGGAAUAAUUUCACUGGUGUUUCGGACAUUGAUUAUCAUGUCAACAUGAAUGGUGGCAGAGAUAUCUUUGUCUCGCAAUCUCAAGAUUGGUGGAGAGGAGGCGGAAAUAUUUAGGACAAUAUCGUCAUCUGGAUACUGCUGGUAGAGUCGAGGAAUAACCCACUUCCAUGCUGCAGUGUUCAAAAGGUGCUGAUCAGGAAUAUGAUCCACAAUCCAGUGCAUAUAUUCCUGGAAACAAGAUAACUGUUAAUACAAGCACUUCUUGUUUCGUUCGGAAUGAUGGAAGGGUGAAUUCAUGGAAAGUAAACAUUGUAAUCAAUUAACCUUAGAUCAAUUGGCUUUAAAAUAGAAGUUGAAGAUUAUUGUACGGUCUAAGUGAUGAUUGAUGUGAUUUGAAACUUGGUAUUGCAGGGAGGGAAAAAAAACUAUGGGAGAGAUCAUCUGUGAAAACUUACUUGAAAAAUAACUUGUGAAGCAGAGUUGAGGACACGUUCAUGUAGAGACAUCUCAAUCAUCUUAGCAGAAUCUUUGCAGUAGACAGAGCCUUUGGUUUCAUCAUGGACAUACUGUGGCAAAAGAGAAAAACAUUAACGAAAGAAGCAUGUAUGAAAAAGUAGGAGUCUUCAUGCACAAGAACUCACUUUAAAGGGAACUUGUGAAGCAGAGCUGAGAACAUUUUCGUGUUGCGACUUCCCAUAGAUGGAAUCUUCAGUUUCUCCUUGGUUGUAGCUAGGAACUAAUUUCUUGUAAGAAGGGCUGAAUAAACCAUUGAUUUUAAAUUCAAUGGAAGAAGAGGAUAACACUGGGCUCCCCACAAAAGUGAUAUUAAGCGCAGCAAUAUCAGCUAUGGGAAUUUCUUGAGGAAAUGACUGCAGUGACGAGUCAAGCUUUACUAUCCCUUCUUUUAGUUUUUUGGAAAUGUUAUCUUCAACUGUCGACUCUAUUUUCCCUUCAAAAGCAUCGACCACCCUGAAAUGAAAAAAAAAAUGCCCCCAACUGGUUUUAUACCUCAACAUGCAGAAAGAUCAAGCAAAGGUUAGUGUCAAUCAUAAUCAUUUCGUUUUCUACUUUGUCAAAUUUUAUCACAUUUCUUCAAAGCUCCCACCAGCAAGCCAAAAAAACUAAAACAAAACGAAGAUGGGCUUGGAAAUUUUGAAUCUUUUGAAGGGAACUUUCAAUCCUACACAGGAAACUAAUAGCUCUCAACAGCCUCAACUGAGAUACCAUAACUAUAAAACAUGGCAUAGCUAUCCAGUCUCAGUGCACAAGAGUCAGCGCAAGCAACCUGAAACAGAAGAGAUUUCAUGAAAGACAGAAGAAGAGCAUAGGUUUUGGUUGUGUACCCUUGGUAAAGCCAAGACGCUCCACCGUGUAAAUGUAUGGAGAUUGCUUCGACAUUGCACCCGCAUUCUAAAAGAGUCAGCUCAAGAGUUCCAUUUUGUUGAUUUAAGCUUACAGUUAGGCCUAUAUUCAUACCAUCAACCUAAAAGUCAAAAUCCCCCAAUAAGAGUUCAAUAAUGAUGAAAAUACAUUGCAAGAGUUAUUUGUUAUAAAUUACUGCAAAUUGAAAUGCAAAGCAUCUCAGAAAUCUUGAGCAAUCAAUUAGCAGAGCCAUCUCUUCCACAUUGUUCAAUUUUAUUUCUUUUCCUAAUUAACUGUGCUGAGUGUUCUAAACCAUAAAAUCCCACCCUUGUAGGGGUGUGUGUCCUGGUGGUAAGAGUUAGUGGUGUUUGGAGAUGUGCAAAUCAAAGUAUUGAGUCCAAGCCGGUUGGUAAGUUAUGAUUUUAAAAUAUAUGGCAAAAUACACUUUUGGUCCAUGAAGUUUGAAGUAGAUGUCCAUUUGGUCUCUAAGAUUUCAUAAUGGGCACUUUUAGUCCCUAAAGUUUGAACAAUGGUUUUAAAUAGCCCCUAGAUUUGACCGUUAGUUGACAUAAUAGAUUACUGAUUGGACCAUUAAGUGUUAAGGUGGAUUUCCUUAGUUGUCAACUUUUAGUUGAAGUAUUGGACAUUUAUUAGGUUAAAACUUGAGAUAAAAAUUUAAACAAAAAAAGGAAAAAAAAAACCUUGUUUUAGAAAAUAAAGACUUUUAUCUGUCGUUUAGUUUCCUGAAUCUUCCUCUUCCUUCAACAAACCACUUGUUUUACCCAUGUUAGUUCACCCAUUAUAUCGCAAUAUAGUAGGAGAGGGAAAAAGGAGAGUGCACUUGCGAUGGGUAGUGUGGCGGCUAAGGCCCAUCCACAGUUAGUUAGGAGGGAAAGAGAGGUUUAAAUAGCGAAGGGGUUGGUGAGUGAGGGGAGGAGAAUUGUAUGAAUCAUUUGUCUUUUCCUUGAAAGGAAAGGCAGAGGGAAGGGUAGUUCAAUCUUUGUUCUUCUUAAGCUUUUAGUUCUUAUUCAGGUACCAAUUCCCUUGUAAUUCAGAAAAACUGGUUUCAUUGUAGAAGUUGCCCACAGAAGAAACUUCUAAUUAUGGAGUAAUCUUGGGCUCUGGCUCUGGCUCGGCGGUAGAAGGGAAAUGAGUGUGUGAAGGAGUGGAGUUAGUGAUCAGGAAAUGGAAGAUAAAGAACAGUUUUCUACCCCUAGAGUUAGGGAGAGUAGAUGUAAUUCUGGAAAUGCAGUGGCUACAUUCAGAGGUGGACUGGCAGAACUUGACCAUGAUGUUCGAUCAAAGAGACAAAGUGUGGUGCCGGGGGGAAUCCUAGCUUGAAUAGGGAUAGGAUGAGUUUGAAGAGCAUGAUGAAAUCGUGGUCUCCGACAAACCAAGGUUUUUUGAUUGAGUGUAGAGCUAUGGAACGGGGGAUAACGUUUGCUGAGUUGUAUGAAGUUGAUGAGGUACCUAUGAUGACUGAAUCAAUUCCUGCGCUAUUGUCUAAAUUCGAAGAUGUGUUUGAUUGGCCAAAGGAUCUUCCACCAAGGAGGAGUAUUGAGCAUCAGUUAACAUCAGCCAUACUGAUACGCUUAUCAGCAAAAGGAAGAGAUGGAGAAGCUGGUGGAUGAAAUGUUAGAAUCAAAAGUUAUACAACCAAGCACCAACCCGUAUUCAAGCCCCGUUUUGUUGGUGAAGAAGAAAGAUGACAAUUGGAGAUUUUGUUUGGAUUAUCGGGCACUAAAUAAUGUGACAAUUCCAGAAAAGUUUUCCAUACCGGUUGUCCGAGUAUUGUUUGAUGAAUUAAAUUGGGCCAAUAUGUUCAAGAUUGAUUUGAAGGCUGGCUAUCAUCAAAUAAGAAUGAAUCCAGGAGGUGUGGAGAAGACAGCUUUUAGGACUCUGUGAGACCCCCAAUCAUACAUACGUAUGUUAGGAAGGGUAAGAAGGGAGAUUCACCAACAAGUAAUGAGAGAGAAUGAGUGGGAAGUAAAAGAAUGUGCAGGUGGGUCCCACUGGGUAGGAAUUUGAGGGUGAGUAUAAAUAGAAUGAUUGAGAAAUAGGGAUAGGUAUCUAUUUUGUUAUCCUUAGGGAAAAGAGAGGCGGCAGCAGCCAAAAAAGGGGAGGGGGUAUCCUUCUUGUAAAGGAUGCUGGUAUGCACUUGUUAUUUACUGUUCUUGCUUUCAUUUCAUAUUGUAGCUGUAUCUUUUGGCUCUAUACAUAAAUAAAGAAUCACAUGGUGCUGUCUCUGUUUAGCCAUUGUUGGGUGUUUUAUUAGAAGGUGUGUUAGAAUCCUGACAUUUGGUAUCAGAGCCCAACAAAAACAACAAAAAAAAACUGGGUGUUGUUACGCGUCGCAUGGCACAAAGACAAAUGGAGGAACGAAUGGAAGGAACCGAGAAGGAGCUGUUGAGCAUGAAAGAAAUGUUACUGGAAAUGAAGAAAUCUAUGGAAAGACUGACGGAGGAACUAAGAGAGAAUCAUAGCUAUAAGAAAAGAGACGAAUCCGGAACAUCUGAUGGAUCCAGCAUGAAGUUGAAAGGAAAAGUAGAAGAAUCGGAAGUCUGUAAUGAGGUAAAUGGAAACAAUGUGGAUCGAAGUAAGUACAAAAAGUUAGAAAUGCCUAUGUUCUUAGGUGAAAAUCCCGAAUCCUGGGUAUAUAGAGCAGAACAUUUUUUUGAGAUCAACAACCUGCCAGAAAACGAGAAGAUCAAAGUGGCUGUGGUCAGCUUUGGGCAAGAUGAAGUGGACUGGUACCGGUGGACACAUAAUAGGAAGAAAGUAGAGUCAUGGGAAGACUUAAAAGGGAGGAUGUUUGAUUUCUUCAAGGACUCAGGGCAAACAAGUCUAGUGGCACGCUUGAUUACGAUUCAACAAGAUGGAUCCUACAGUGAGUAUGUGAAGAAAUUUGUCACAUAUUCAGCUCCUCUCCCUCACAUGGAGGAAAGUGUGUUACGUGAUGCUUUUCUGACCGGUCUGGAACCUAAUCUUCAAGCAGAAGUCGUUAGUCGUUACCCUCGAACAUUGGAAGAAUGUAUGAGGGAGGCUCAACUAGUCAAUGAUCGGAAUGUAGCAAUGAAAUUGACUAAGACCGAGGGCAGGACAGUGGAACCAAAGAAAAAAGAAGAGUAUGCAGGAAAAAUCCAAGAUAGAACAGACAAAGGCUACAUGAGGAAGACAGAUUUCCCCAUAAAACAAGUAACUAUACCUAUUAAGGGUAGUUAUCAAAAAAGUGAACCUCCUAUCAAACGACUUUCAGACGCAGAAUUCAGGUCCAGACUGGAUAAGGGCCUAUGUUUCAAAUGCAAUGAGAAGUAUACGCCAGGGCACAGAUGUAGAGUGAAGGAAAAAAGGGAGCUGAUGUUAUUUAUCAUGAAUGAAGAGGAGAGCAAGGAAGAGGAAGGCAAGAUUGAAGAGGAACCAGGGGAAACAGUGGAACUAAACCAUCUGGAUUUUGCAGAAGGAGAGGAAAUAGAAUUGAAGACAAUCCAUGGGAUGGCAUCGAAGGGAACGAUGAAGCUGAAGGGAAAUAUAAAGGGCAAAGGAGUGAUAGUGCUGAUUGAUAGUGGAGCAACCCAUAAUUUUAUACAUAACCGGACAAUAAAGGAAAAGAACUUAUACUUGGAAAAAGGUAAUCCGUUUGCAGUUACAAUUGGAGAUGGCACCAAGUGUACAGGCAAGGGUGUUUGCAAGAGAGUGGAAUUGGAGCUACAAGGGGCUGUGGUGGUGGCUGAUUUUUUAGCUAUUGAGUUGGGAAAUGUGGAUGUAAUAUUGGGUAUGCAGUGGCUGGAUACAACAGGCACCAUGAAGAUACAUUGGCCAUCUCUAACAAUGUCCUUUUGGUCAGGCAAACAGAAAAUUAUUUUGAAAGGAGACCCAUCCCUCAUCCAAGCAGAAUGUUCCCUCAAAACCAUUGAGAAAACGUGGGAAAAUGAAGAUCAGGGUUUUCUGUUGGAAUUCCAAAAGUAUGAAAUAGACACGGAGGUGGAAGUGGAGCAGGCAAUGAAAGGGGACAAAGAAGAGAUUCCAAUGAUUAAAAAUCUGUUACAACAGUAUGCAGACAUCUUUGAGGAUCCAAAAAAACUGCCCCCUAAGAGAGAAAUAGAUCACCGUAUAUUGGUUUUACCAAACCAGAGGCCCAUCAAUGUCAGACCAUAUAAAUAUGGUUAUGUACAGAAGGAGGAAAUUGAGAAAUUGGUGGUGGAAGUGCUGCAAGCAGGUGUGAUACGUCCCAGUCAUAGCCCUUACUCCAACCCUGUUUUAUUGGUCAAAAAGAAAGAUGGAGGGUGGCGCUUUUGUGUAGAUUACCGGAAGCUCAACCAAGUGACCAUAUCUGACAAAUUUCCUAUCCCAAUGAUAGAAGAACUGCUGGAUGAAUUACAUGGGGCCACGGUUUUCUCGAAAUUAGAUAUGAAGUCCGGUUACCAUCAAAUAAGGAUGCAGGAGGAAGAUGUUGAGAAGACCGCGUUCAGAACACAUGAGGGUCACUAUGAAUUUCUGGUCAUGCCCUUCGGUCUUACAAACGCACCAGCCACCUUCCAGUCCUUGAUGAAUCAGGUAUUCAAACCUUUUUUAAGAAGGUGUGUAUUGGUGUUCUUCGAUGAUAUACUUGUAUAUAGCAAGGAUAUAUCAGAACAUGAGAAACACCUAGGGAUGGUAUUUGCAGUGUUGAGGGAUAACCAUCUAUUUGCAAAUAAGAAGAAGUGUGUCAUAGCUCACUCCAAAAUCCAAUAUUUGGGGCAUAUAAUCUCAAGUAAAGGAGUACAGGCUGAUAUGGAGAAAAUCAAAGACAUGGUGAAAUGGCCUCAGCCAAAGGAUGUCACGGGUUUGAGAGGAUUUCUGGGAUUAUCGGGCUAUAUCGUAGGUUUGUGAAAGGAUACGGAGAAAUUGCAGCUCCCUUGACCAGAUUGUUGCAAAAGAAUUCUUUUGUGUGGGAUGAACAAGCAACCGUGGCUUUUGAAAAAUUAAAGAUUGCCAUGACUACUAUCCCGGUGCUAGCACUGCCGAAUUGGGAUCUACCUUUUUUAAUCGAAACAGAUGCUUCAGGGACAGGAUUGGGAGCUGUACUAUCGCAGAAUGGUCACCCCAUAGCCUUCUUCAGCCAGAAAUUGUCGAUACGAGCUCAGGCAAAGUCCAUUUACGAAAGAGAACUGAUGGCUGUAGUAUUAUCAGUACAGAAAUGGCGUCAUUAUCUAUUAGGGAGGAAGUUUACAAUUAUUUCAGAUCAAAAGGCAUUGAAAUUUCUCUUAGAACAGAGGGAAGUACAACCCCAAUUUCAGAAAUGGCUGACCAAACUUCUGGGAAAAGAGAGGCGGCAGCAGCCAAAAAAGGGGAGGGGGUAUCCUUCUUGUAAAGGAUGCUGGUAUGCACUUGUUAUUUACUGUUCUUGCUUUCAUUUCAUAUUGUAGCUGUAUCUUUUGGCUAUAUAUAUAAAUAAAGAAUCACAGGGUGCUGUCUCUGUUUAGCCAUUGUUGGGUGUUUUAUUAGAAGGUGUGUUAGAAUCCUGACAGACUCAUGAAGACCAUUAUGAGUUUCUAGUAAUGCUGUUUGGUUUGACCAAUGCUUCAUACACUUUCCAGUCUUUGAUGAACACAAUCCUUAAGCCCUAUAUGAGAAGAUUUGUUUUGGUAUUUUUUGAUGACAUACUGAUUUAUAGUCAGAACUUAGAAGACCAUUUGCAACAUCUGGAGCUGGUGUUAGAGAUCUGAUGUAAUUCAAAUAGCUUAAACCUACUGCCUUACUAGUUACUCUUAUAGUUUACUGUUAUAAUUGUAACUACUUCUUUAGUUACAAAAUAACUAACUUGUAUUACAUUUUCCUCGAUAAAUAAACAUCUCCUAUCACAUUGAGAGAUAAGAUUUCAUUCAAACAAAAAGAUUAGGCUUUGGUUACACACCAAUUGGUAUUAGAGCACCAUAAAGCUCUUAGAUCCAUAGCUGUCCGACGAGUAAAUCCGACAGCAGCGGAGCAUCCUGCUUAGAACCAAGAGGCUGGAUAUAACUCUCAUCCUCUCUCCAAGAACAACCUCAUGACGCUUGCUGUCCUUGGAGGCUUCGGUGGAGGGAAUACAAGCAACACUUCAAGAAGUCUUACAAUGGCUAGAAAGUUUAGCUCCUCCUCAAACAGUAUAUGAAGAACAUCAAGAAUUUGUUCAAGGCAUUCGAGGAGCUGGACUUCAAAGAGUGGGGCGAAAUCAUCAAGAAAGAAGGUUUGAAGUGCAAGAAAGAAGAUGACCAAUUCAAGAUUAUCAAGAACUCCCUCCAAGAAUACCAACAAAUUCAUCAAGAAAGGAAGUUUGAAGCUCAAGAACGUAGGAGACCUAAUCAAGAGUAUCAAGAAGUUUACCCAAACUCUUUCAAGAUUUUGCAAGAAUGGACUACUAUCGAUCAAAUAAGAUGUUUAAGGAAAAAACCAGCAAUUGGUAGACAAGAAAAUCAAUUUUACUUCCAUAAACAAUGUUGGAGUUCUAAUUCAAGUGAUUUGGAAGAAGGAUUUCAACAUUCAAAUUUAGGCCAUGCUCGAUUUUCUCAAAGAACCUAUCAUUAUUCAAAUUGAAAAUUUGAUUCAAUCUGAUGAUAUUCCUAAGGCAGUUUGGGACGAAAUAAGAAGGCAACAAUAUCAAAAAAUGGCCCAACGAUCCAAUCAAACCCAUUUUCCAAGAAAUCAACGUUCAUGGGGCAAAAUGACUCAACAUGUAGAUCAACUAUCAAUUCAUUUGCAAGAGUACAAGACCGAAUUGAUUUCAUAUACAAAAGAAAAAACAAAGGAAUCACGACUGGAAAAUUUUCAUAUAGAAAAUCAUGAAGAUAAAAUUAAAGAACGAGAUAAAAUGUUGAUUUGGAAAUGGACACAAGUGAACAAAAAUCCAAUGAAGAAGAUGAAAAAGAAGAAAAACAUCGAGCAAAAAUCGAACAAGAACAAUGACACAUUGGUUGCAGUGGAAAUGAAUCUUCAAACCAUCGAAGAACUUUAAGCGAAUGACAAAGAAAAUGUGAUUCUUGAAUAUUUUUUUUCAAAAGCUAAUUCUUUUCAAAUUGAUUCUUUGAAUAUGGUUUUAAGUGAGAUUGAAGGAGACAUCUUUUUUGGGUUUACAACUAAUGGAGAAAUUCAUCUUUUAGUGGCCAUAUUUGAUUUUUUGUCUCGAUUUUAUCUCUUCGAUCAUAAUAUUUUUGUUCAAUACGUAGGAGGUUGGUUUGGUCAUACUCUGUUGCUUCAGAUAGAUUCCAACUUACAUGACAGCCCCAACUCAAGGACAUGUUUGAUGCUCAGGGGAUGGAAUGAUGCAAUUCAAAUAGCUUAAACCUAUUGGCUUACUAGUUUACUAUUAUAGUUUGCUAUUAUAAUUGUUACAACUACUUAGUUAGUUACUAAAUAACUAACUUGUAUUACAUUUCCUCCAUAAAUAAACAUCUCCUCUCACAUUGAUGAAAUAAGAUUUGAUUCAAACAAAAAGAUUAGGCUUUGGUUACACACCAAGAUCCCGAGGGAAAAUGAAUUAUAUGCAAACAUGAAGAAAUGCAACUUUGCCCGGGCAAGAGUAUAAUAUUUGGGGCAUAUUGUUCGAGAAAAGGAGUGAAAGUUGACCCGAAAAAAACUAGAACAAUAAAGGAAUGGCCAAUACCGACAAAUGUGCGGGAAGUGCGGGGAUUUUUUGGUCUAAUUGGUUAUUAUCGGUGAUAUGUUCAAGAUUAUGGUAACGUGGCUACCCCUUCGACUCAAUUGUUGAAGGCGGGAGCUUACGAGUGGACGAAAGAGACUCAAGAAGCUUUUGAGAAAUUAAAGAAUGCUAUGAUGACAUUGCCAGUGCUAGCAUUACCUAAUUUCAAUUUGCCCUUCGAGAUUGAAACUAAUGCAUCUGGCAAUGGGAUUGGAGUAGUGUUGAUCCAAGUAACGAGGCCAAUUGCUUAUUUUAGUCACACUUUGUUCGUGAGGGAUCGGCUAAACCGAUUUAUGAAUGGGAGUUAAUGGCAGUGGAGUUAGUUGUGCAAAGGUGGAGACCGAAAUGUUAUGCAGGAAAUUUGUGGUAAAAACUUAUCAACGAUCUCUGAAUUUUUGUUGGAACGAGUUAUUCAACCUCAACAUCAAAAAUGGAUCGCUAAGUUGUUAAGGUUAUACGUCUGAGGUAAUCUAUAAACCGGGGUUGGAGAAUAAGGUUGCUGAUGCACUCUCUAGAAUGACUUCAAUGCAUUUAAAUCAAUUAACGGCUCCUGCUUUGCUGGAAUUGAUCAUAAUUAAAGAAGAGCUGGAGAAGGGUCCAUGACUGAGUGAAAUAAUAGAAGAAUUGAAGAAGAAUGAGGAGUGUGUGGCUGACUUUUCUUUACAGCAGGGUGUGUUGAAGUAGAAAGGCAGAGUGGUGAUUACUCGGCGUUAUUACCCACUAUAUUACAUACUUAUCACGAUUCUGUGUUUGGUGGACAUUCAGGAUUUUUUAGGACUUAUAAACGGCUGAAGGGAGAGCUGUAUUGGGAAGGUAUGAAGGGUGAUGUGAAGAAAUAUUGUGAGAAAUGUGUCGUAUGUCAGCAUCCUAAGUCCUUGGCGUUGUCUCCAGCAGGCUUAUUGAUGCCUUUAGAGAUUCCGGAUGCUGUAUUGAGCCACAUCUUUAUGGAUUUCAUUGAUGGGUUACCAAAGGCGGCUGGUUUCAAUGUGAUAUUAGUAGCGGUGGACAGAUUGAGUAAGUAGGCACAUUUCUUUACCUUGAAACACCCUUAUACAGCAAAAUAAGUAGCUGAGGUUUUUGUCAAGGAAGUGGUGAGAUUACAUGAAUUUCCAAGGUCCAUAGUUUCGGACCAUGAUAAGGUGUUUCUCAUUAACUUUUUGAUGUAAUUCAAAGUUGAGAUUAAUUUCUCAAAUGAAUUUGUCAGGAUUCUAACCCACUUUUUAAAUAAACACUCAACAAUGGCUAAACAGAGACAGCCCCUGUGAUUCUUUAUUUAUGUAUAUAGUCAAAAGAUACAGCUACAAUAUGAAAUGAAAGCAAGAACAGUAAAUAAUAAGAACAUACCAGCAUCCUUUACAAGAAGGAUACCCCCUCCCCUUUACGGCUGCUGCCGCCUCUCUUUUCUCUAAGGUUAACAAAAAAGAUACCUAUCCCUAUUGAAAUCAUUCUAUUUAUACUCACCCUCAAAUUCCUACCCAGUGGGACCCACCUGCACAUUCUCUUAUUUCCCACUCAUUCUCUCUCAUUACAUGUUGGUGAAUUUCCCUUCUUACCCUUCCUAACAUACGUAUGUAUGAUUGGGGUCUCACAACACCCCUCGGUUCCAAAUUCACCUUGUCCUCAAGGUGGAAUGUGGGAAACUGUUGAUUCAUUUGAUAGACAGCUUCCCAUGUGGCUUCAGUUUCUGGUAAAUUCUUCCACUUGACUAGCCAUUCGUUAGCUCCCAAUUCUUUGUUCCAGCGAAUUCCCAAUACCUGUUCUGGCCAUAGUUGUAAUUCGAAAUCUGUUGUCAACAUAGGUUGCUGUUGCUGCACAACCUUCUGCUUACCUAACUUGAGCUUCAACUGUGAGAUGUGGAACACAUCAUGAAUACUCGCUUCUGGUGGAAGUUUCAAUCUAUAGGCCACCUCUCCUAUCUCUUCAAUGAUUGUGUAAGGCCCGUAGAAUUUUGGUGCCAGCUUUUCACACCUUUUCCGAGCUAAGGAUCUCUGCCUAUAAGGUCUGAGCUUUAGGUAUACUUCAUCACCCACCUUGAACUUCAAUUCCCUUCUUUUGGUGUCUGCCCAUUUCUUCAUGCGGUUUUGGGCUAAGUGAAGAUUCUCCUUCAAGGCGUUCAAUGCCAGAUCUCUCUCUUUGAGCAUUAUUUCUACCUCAUCAUUCUGAGUUUUUCGGGUUCCGUAGGAUAGAAUUGGGGGUGGUUGCCUUCCAUAUACAAUCUUGAAAGGGUUGGAACGUAUGGAUGAAUGGAAAGUAGUGUUAUACCACAGUUCAGCCCAUGGAAUGAACUUAUGCCACCUUUGAGGUUGCUCAUUGCAAAAGCAUCUCAAGUAUGUCUCCAGACAUUGGUUUACCCUUUCCGUUUGUCCAUCUGUUUGUGGGUGGAACGCCGUGCUUCUUUUCAGUUUAGUUCCCAUAGUUGUAAAUAACUCAUUCCAAAAAUGACUAAUGAAAACUUUAUCCCUGUCGGAUACUAUGGAUUUUGGAACCCCAUGCUUGCUGAUGAUCUUUUCAAUGAAUGUCGUCGCCACUUGUUUAGCUGUGAAAGGGUGCUUCAUAGUGAUGAAAUAAGCAUACUUGCUCAAUCUGUCUACCACCACCAUUAUCACAUUCAUUCCCCCUGCCUUCGGUAACCCUUCUAUGAAAUCCAUUGACCAUUCUUCUAGUAUGGCUUCCGGAGCAGGAAGUGGAUGUAAUACUCCUGCUGGUUUCGUGGCCUCAUAUUUGUUCCUUUGACAAAUCUCACACUGUUCCACAUAUUUCUUUAUAUCAGCCUUCAUUCCCUCCCAGUACAGCUCUCCGCUCAUCCUUUUAUAUGUCCUCAAGAAUCCCGAGUGUCCUCCUAAGAUGGAGUCAUGGAAUGUAUGCAGCAAUGUGGGAUCACUGACGACUUCUUUGAUAAUACCACUCUCUUCUUGUAGAACAGUUUCCCAUUCUCCCAGCUAAAUUUGCUAAUUCCCUCUGGAUUCUGUUUCAAUUCUUUAAUGGUUUUCUGUAAUUCCUCAUCUUGGUUGACUUCCUUGUCUAUCACUUCCAUGUCUACAAUGCCAGUUGUCGUCAAGGAGUUUACUUCCAGCGGAUAUUCCAUCCUAGAAAGGGCAUCUGCUGCUUUGUUUUGUAAUCCAGGUUGGUAUAAUAUUUCAAAAUCGUAUCCCAGCAGUUUGGUCAGCCAUUUCUGAAAUUGGGGUUGUACUUCCCUCUGUUCUAAGGAGAAAUUUCAAUGCCUUUUGAUCUGAGAUAAUUGUAAACUUCCUUCCUAAUAGAUAAUGACGCCAUUUCUGCACUGAUAAUACUACAGCCAUCAGUUCUCUUUCGUAAAUGGACUUGGCCUGAGCUCGGAUCGACAAUUUCUGGCUGAAGAAGGCUAUGGGGUGACCAUUCUGUGAAAGUACAGCUCCCAAUCCUGUCCCUGAAGCAUCUGUUUCGAUUAAAAAAGGUAGAUCCCAAUUCGGCAGUGCUAGCACCGGGAUAGUAGUCAUGGCCAUCUUUAAUUUUUCAAAAGCUACGGUUGCUUGUUCAUCCCACGCAAAAGAAUUCUUUUGCAACAAUCUGGUCAAAGGGGCUGCAAUUUCUCCGUAUCCUUUCACAAACCUACGAUAAUAGCCCGAUAAUCCCAGAAAUCCUCUCAGACCCGUGACAUCUUUCGGCUGAGGCCAUUUCACCAUGUCUUUGAUCUUCUCCUCAUCAGCCUGUACUCCUUUACUCGAAAUUAUAUGCCCCAAAUAUUGGAUUUUGGAGUGAGCUAUGACACACUUCUUCUUAUUUGCAAAUAGAUGGUUAUCCCUCAACACUGCAAAUACCAUCCCUAGAUGUUUCUCAUGUUCUGAUAUAUCCUUGCUAUAUACAAGUAUAUCAUCGAAGAAUACCAAUACACACCUUCUUAAAAAAGGUUUGAAUACCUGAUUCAUCAAGGACUGGAAGGUGGCUGGUGCGUUUGUAAGACCGAAGGGCAUUACCAGAAAUUCAUAGUGACCCUCAUGUGUUCUGAACGCGGUCUUCUCAACAUCUUCCUUCUGCAUCCUUAUUUGAUGGUAACCGGACUUCAGAUCUAGUUUUGAGAAAACCGUGGCUCCAUGUAAUUCAUCCAACAGUUCUUCUAUCACUGGGAUAGGAAAUUUGUCAGAUAUGGUCACUUGGUUGAGCUUCCGAUAAUCUACACAAAAGCGCCACCCUCCAUCUUUCUUUUUGACCAAUAAAACAGGGCUGGAGUAAGGGCUAUGACUGGGACGUAUCACACCUGCUUGCAGCAUUUCCACCACCAAUUUCUCAAUUUCCUCCUUCUGUACAUAACCAUAUUUAUAUGGUCUGACAUUGAUGGGCCUCUGGUUCGGUAAAACCAAUAUACGGUGAUCUAUUUCUCUCUUAGGGGGCAGCUUUUUUGGAUCCUCAAAGAUGUCUGCAUACUGUUGUAACAGAUUUUUAAUCAUUGGAAUCUCUUCCUCGUCCCCUUUCAUUGCCUGCUUCACUUCCACAUCCGUGUCUACUUCAUACUUUUGGAAUUCCAACAGAAAACCCUGAUCUUCAUUUUCCCACGUUUUCUCAAUGGUUUUCAGGGAACAUUCUGCUUGGAUGAGGGAUGGAUCUCCUUUCAAAAUAAUUUUCUGUUUGCCUAACCAAAAGGACAUUGUUAGAGAUGGCCAAUGUAUCUUCAUGGUGCCUGUUGUAUCCAGCCACUGCAUACCCAAUAUUACAUCCACAUUUCCCAACUCAAUA